This is a non-coding RNA of Callithrix jacchus (white-tufted-ear marmoset), 57863 nucleotides long. NCBI's taxonomy places the organism in Eukaryota, Metazoa, Chordata, Mammalia, Primates, Cebidae. The record is from RefSeq and is a predicted model, not a curated record.
UAAUGUUAUAUACAGUAUUAUAAGUAUAUAUACAGUAUUAUAAGUAUAAUAUUGUAUGUAUAUAUAAAAAACAUGGUCUCACUAUAUUUCCGGAUUAAACUUGAUCAAACGCCUGGACUCAAGCAAUUCUCCUACCUCAGCUUCCGUAGUACCUUGAACUACAGGUGUGUACCACUGUGUUUGACUAAUUGUUAACUCUGUAGUUUUGACCAUGAAGUUAAAACCUAAAACUAGGAUAUCAUUUAGGAAAAAAAGAUUAGGUGCUGACAUAAACUAACUUUUAAAAUAUUUGGGCUUCAACUUUAUCUGUACACGUAUUUCCAGAACCCUUGGGCUUUGUAGGACUGGCAAAACUCCACUUCCAUCCUCUUAGGGUUCCAGCUGGGCCUGAGAAUUCAAUUGACAUAAGACAUUAACUGGAGAAAAACAUACAAAUUUAUUUAAUACACAUUUUACAUGGCAUGGGAGCUCUCGUAAGGAAAUGAAGACCCAAAGAAGCAGUUAAAGUCAGUCAUUGAUAUACUGAAUUGGACAAAAAUAGUAGCUGUGAAAAAGCAGCUAAAUUGUGUGGGGAGGCUUAAAAGAGAAGAGUUAUUUUAACAAGGUCUGUACAGAAUUCUUUUGGUCUCAACUUCAUCCUUGAGGAUAAGGAUGUUAUUCCUUUUGGUAUAGUGAGGGUAUCUUUCACAUAGGAAUUUCAUCUCCUGCUUUUAGAAAACAGAAAACAGGUUAGGAUGAUCUUUUUGCACCUGCUGUUUUUCAAGUGCCUUUAAUUCAAAGUAGUCAAUAUGUCUUAGUGAUACAUUUUUAACUCCUUCAGCUUAAAUGGAAGAUUCAUGUUUUCUUGAAAGGAUUUGGAAUAUGAAGUUUCCUGCAGAAUUUUACACCUAAGAUGUAUAAACAUAAGAACUUUACCAGAAUAGAGCAGUGAGAGUCUGAAACAAUCUUUCAAGAAAAAUCUGAUGAUAUCUCCUGAACAUGUAUGUAAUAUUUUGGCUAUAAUCACAGACUUCUUAAGAAGUAUAAUUGUAAGGAUAAAAUUUUUCUUCUGAUUCUGUUGAAAAUAGUUUGUUUUGAGACAGAAUCUUACUCUGUCACCCAGGCUGGAGUGCUGUGGCAUGAUCUCAGCUCACUGCAGCCUCUACAUCCAGGGCUCAGCUUAUCCUCCCACCUCAGUCUCAUGAGUAGCUGGGACCACAGGCACAUGCCACCACUCCUGGGUAAUUCUUUUUGGUAUAUUGGGAUUUUGCCAUAUUGCCUCGGAUGGUCUCAAACUCCUGAGCUCAAGUAAUUUUUUUUUUUAAGCUGGUGAUGGUCCACAACUUGUGAUACCUAAGUUUAUGUAUAUGUCAGUAAUAUAUACAAACAACAUACAAUGUUUAUUUCCUAUAUAUUUUAUUCUGUGUUAAGUUUUUUAGAGGUAACUUUGUCUACUCAGCAAGUAGAAUGUUACACAGCAAGUAAAGUGAUUGUUGUUUUGUUUUGUUUAGUCUUGCAUUGUUUCUAUAAUCCUAAUUAAGGAUAAUAAUCACUUCCUUUCCAGAGAUUAUACCAAUCCUUUUUUUUCUGCUUUCCAUUUUCCCCUUUCCUUCUUUUUCUUUUAAAACAUACACAAGUGUCAUACAUGAAAACACUUUAGUUAGGCGCGGUGGCUCACGCCUGUAAUCCCAGCACUUUGGGAGGCCGAGGUGGGUGGAUCACAAGGUCAAGAGAUCGAGACCAUCCUGGUCAACAUGGUGAAACCCCAUCUCUACUAAAAAUACAAAAAAUUAGCUGGGUAUGGUGGUGCGUGCCUGUAAUCCCAGCUACUCAGGAGGCUGAGGCAGGAGAAUUGCCUGAACCCAGGAGGAGGAAGUUGCGGUGAGCUGAGAUCACGCCAUUGUACUCCAGCCUGGGUAACAAGAGCGAAACUCCAUCUCAAAAAAAAAAAAAGAAAGAAAGAAAGAAAGAAAGAAAGAAAAGAAAACACUUUAAUUGCAAAAAUUUCCAAAAAUAGAAAUAUAGGAGGCUGGGCUCAGUGGCUCAUGCCUGUAAUCCCAGCACUUUGGGAGGCUGAGGCAGGUGGAUCUCCUUGAACCCAAGAGUUUGAGACCAGCCUGGGCAACAUAGCAAAACCCCAUCUCUAUAAAAAAUAUAAAAAAUAGCCAAGUGUGAUGGUGCACCUGUAGUCUCAGCUACUCAGGAGGCUAGGGUAGGAGGAUGGCUUGAGCCUGAGACAGAGGUUGCAGUGAGCCGAGACUGUGCCGCUGCAUUUCAGCCUGAGUGACAGAGCCAGACCCUGUCUCAAAAAAAGAAAAAUUGCCUGGAUUGGUGGCCUGUACCUAUAGUCCCAGCUACUUGAGAGGCUGAGGUGGGAGGAUCGUCUGAGUCCAGGGAGGUUAAAGCUGCAGUGAGCCAUGAUCCUGUCACUGCACUACAGCCAAGGUGACAUAGUGAGACCCUGUCUCAAACCAAAAAAAAAAAAAGAGAAAUAUAAUAAAAAGCAAAGUGUUACCUUUUUCCUUUCCUCUUCUAUCUUAUUCUCCUCUCCAGAAAUCGUUACUUUGAUGUUUCAUUCAAAAUCUUUUUCUGUAUAUUUACAUACUAAUUUCUAUAUAAAGAAACAUAUGGUUUGCAGGGGGAUUUUCCCCCUUUCAUAUAAGUGGGGUCAUACUGUCUAUAUUUUUAGCAUCUUGCAUUUUUUGUUUUUUUGAGAUGGAGUUUUACUCUUGUUGCCCAGGCUGUAAUACAAUGACGCGAUCUCAGCUCACUGCAACCUCUGCCUCCUGGGUUCAAGCUAUUCUCCUGCCUCAGCCUGCCGAAUAGCUGGGAUUACAGGCGUGUGCUACCACACCUGGCUAAUUUUUAUAUUUUUAGUAGAGAUGGGGUUUCACCAUGUUAGACAGUCUGGUCUCACUCCUGACCUCAAGUGAUCCACCCGCCUUGGCCUCCCAAAGUGCUGGGAUUAUAGGCGUGAGCCAUAGGGCCUGGCAUGCAUUGUUUUUCAGUUAAUGAAAUGUAGAGGUCUUUCUGUAGCAGUACUACUAUUUAACUAAAAUAACCACUUCAUAAUGUUCCACAGAGGUUUACUUACCCAUACUGCACUGAUGGACAAUUAAGGUUUUCUGUUUAUCAUCAAAAUUCUCUGAUAUUCUCCUCUCCUAUUUUUUCUCUUUUUCUGUUUUACUCUGUUCUUUUUGAGAUUUCCUCAACUUUCUUCUCUUAAGAUUUUCAUUUUUUGUUAUUACAUUUACAAUUUAUAAAAGUUUUUCUACUCACGCACUUUUUCUAUUCCAGCACUUUGGGAGGCCAAGGCAGGUGGAUUACGAGGUCAGGAGUUCAAGACCAGCCGGACCAAUAUGGUGAAAUUCUGUCUCUACUAAAAAAAAAAGUACAAAAAUUAGCCAGGUGUGGCAGUGUGCACUUGUAGUCCCAGCUACUUGGGAGGCUGAGGCAGGAGAAUCACUUGAACCCAGGAGGCAGAGGUUGAAGUGAGCCGAGAUCGUGCCAUUGAACUCUAGCCUAGGCAACAGAGAGAGACUUUUUGUGUGCUGAAUGUUUUUUUUUUCUUAUUUUGUUUGUUACAGGUAUCUCUUGGAAAUAAUUUUUUUCCCUAAUGUUUUUUUCUGCUUGCAUACUUCCUUUCUACCAGAUUGCUUUCUUUUCUUUUGUUAAUUUUGGUCUCUAUAUUCCAAAUACAGGCUUUCUUUAGGUAUCUAGUAAUUCUUAGCUGUCUGUUCUUAAGUAAGGAUAGGUUAAUAAAAGCCAAUUGGGAAGCCUAAGGACAUGGAUGGGACUUGUAGAUUUUGAGUUUUACUGUAGGAUGACCUGGUUAGAACAUUUGUUAGGUAACCUUCUGGCUUCAACCCAGUAGAGAGGAAGAAGAGGGCUUCUGAUCCUAGAAUUCAGCAUUCACCUGUGCAUAGGGUCACUUAGUCUCCUUGUUAUUCAGAAUAAUACCUGUGUCCUCAACUGUACCUGGUGUCUUCUAAUCAAGGGAUGUCAUUUUAUCCUCUCCAGGGAAUAAGGUGCAAACCUCUGACAUGAUUGAUUUGUUAGGGAGAGAAGGUCACCUGGAGAUGUGGAAUGGAGGAAGGAAAUCUAAGGAUCUAACAGCUUCUUAAAUGUCUUUCAUCCAAUUUUUCUUAUUUUAUCCAUUCCACUCCCCACUUACCCCUAGUUCUACAGGUCGAUAAUCUUGCCAAUUCUUAUGCCUUUAGAAGAUUCUGUGGUAUAUAAUGCUUUCCUCACUGCCAGUUUAAGACUUGGCUCACUCAGCUUUCCUCACUGCCAGUUUAGGACUUGGCUCUCUCUGGUCUGCUAAGUCAGUUACCACUCUGUCAUCUACUUUCUGAUUUAUAAAAAUCUGUUGCUUUUUUUCUUCUUCUCUUUUCCUCGUUACCCUUUGGAUUAUGUAUCUUAAGAUUUGCCAUAAUUUUUGUUUUAGUAGAGUUUCUGAAAGGAGUAUAUUGAAUAUACAUAUUAAAUCUGCCCUCUUACCCUGUGAGUCUCUUAUGUUAUUUCUUUGAUAGAGAGGCUGCAGUUCAUAAUAGUUGAGACUGUGAGUUAUAGCACCAGACUCAAUCAGAGUUUGAACUCUGAUUCUGCCACUUACUAGCCAUUAGCCAUUACCUCUACAUUCCUAUUUUCCUCAUCCGUAACAUGGGGGAUAAUACCUACUUUGUAAGGUGACCAAAUAACUAAAAUUAACUUAUGUAAAGGACUUAGAGCAAUGCCUUGCACAUAGUAUACCCUUAAUAAAUAUUCAUUAUUAAUAUUUUAUUUCCUCUCUUUUCUCUGUCUUUCCUGGAACUCCUGCUAGUAAAAUAUUAACCUCCUUAGAUUAAUCCUUGAAGUAUCCUAUUUUUCUUUCAUACUUUUAAUCUUACGUGUAGUUAUACUUUCCUGGGGAUUAUUGUAACCUCUGUUUAAUGUCUCAUUUUAACAAUCUUAUUUUAAAUAUCAAAUAGCUCUUUUAACAUCUGAUUUUAAUCUUUCAUGUUAAGGAAUUUACUCACAUGUUCAAUGAUGACCUUUGGUAGUUUGUACAUAUUUAUUUUAAAUUUAUUAAAAGCUCUUCAGGAAUAAAACUAAUUGUGGAGUAAGUAAGAAAUAAGCCUUACUUUUGGGUGUUAGGAUGGACAUAAUUAUUAUGAAGAGGACCUUUCUCUCAGAUUGUGCAGUGCCUCCAAAAAGACUUACAGUUUCUCUUCUGGGCAAUAAAGUACAUGUGUUUCAGGUCACUGGUAGGGUAGAGUGGGAGACUGGGUAAAGGAAUUAAGUCCCACCCUUUGGUAUUUCAAGAAAUCCCUUAUUUUUCUAUUUAUCUGUCCUACCUCUGCUCUCUAUUCUGCCUAGUGUCCUCAAGUCUGGAACACCCCUCUUCAAUUUCUCUAGAGGUCAAACUGUCAUUCCCCCACCAAGUUUGGGGUGUAUGCACUUAGCCACUGGCAUUCUAUGCAUGGGAACAGGGAGGAGAAUCAACUGUUCACAUAUACAGACUCUUAUCCUGGGUUUUCACUUUGUGCUUCCUCUUUACCCACUUGGUACUUCCAAGGUCAGAGCUUUCCCAGAUUCUUUGUGGGUAAAUUGACUUCUCACUAUUGUCCCCCUUUGCAAUUUCCUGAGGUUAUAGCUUCUUCCACUGUAAUAAAUGAGAUACCACUCCUCGAUUUGCUCUCCCUUUUCUAAAAAUGUGUUAUCCACUGUAAAAAAUACCAUGUAUUCUCUUGUGUUUGAUUGUCCUUGAGGAAUUAAACCUUUUAAAUUAUGUUGCCAUCAUUUUAUUAUGGGAGCAGAGAAAUACAUAUGCUUGAUCUUCCUUUCCUUUUUGACAGAAGUCAUCAGAUAAAUGUUAUUUUAAAAUAUUUUAUCAUUGCAUUUAACUAUACUAUUUUUUCUUUUUGAGAUGCAAUAUCGUGCUUAUUGCCUAGGCUGGAGUGCAGUGGCACAAUCUCGGCUCAUCACAACCUCCACCUCCUGGGUUCAAGUGAUUCUCCUGCCUUGGCCUCCUGAGUAGCUGGGAUUACAGGUGCCUGCUACCAUGCCUGGCUAAUUUUUUAUAUUUUUAGUAGAGACAGGGUUUCACAAUGUUGGUCAGGCUAAUCUCGAACUCCUGACCUCAGGCGAUCCACCUGCCUCUGCCUCCCAAAGUGCUGGGAUUACAGGCAUGAGCCACCACACCCAGCCUUAACUACACAGUAAUUUUUAUAAUGAGUGGCUGGCAUUCCCUAAUACACCUGGAAAAAGUAGGUCAGAUUUCUUCAUAUAGAUGUAUGGCUGCCAUGACCACACCCUCCUCUUUGUAACAAGCAAGUGGUAAUGAACAAACUCAGGUCAUAGAAUCCAAUGGAAAGAGUUUGAAUUCCCACAGCCAGGCCAGGUUCCUCUACCUAUGCUUAAUGUACUGGAGCUUGACUUUCCUUGUCUCUGCUAGAAACAGACUUCACUCAGCCAUAAUUCCAUUUUCUUUUUCUUCCCCUUUUCCCUUUGCUAGCUUGAAUUACUUGCAUUAAUUGAGGAUUCCUCUUCUCUGACACACAAGAAAGAUAAGGUCUAUUUGGUACACUCUAAACAUCCAUACAGUGGAAUAUUACUAAGCAAUUAAAAAGAACAAACAAUGUAUGCUUCAAUAUCUAUGAUCUUCAAAAAUACUAUGCUAAGUGAAAGAGCCACAUGCAGAAGAUUACAUACGAAAGGUUCAGAAAGAGCAUAUCUAUGGGGCCGGGCACGGUGGCUCAUGCCUGUAAUCCCAGCACUUUGGGAGGCCGAGGCAGGUGGAUCACGAGAUCAAGAGAUCAAGACCAUCCUGGCCAACAUGGUGAAACCCCAUCUCUACUAAAAAUACAAAAAAUUAGCCAGGCAUCGUGGCACAUGCCUGUGGUCCCUACUCAGGAGGCUGAGGUGGAAGAAUCACUUGAACCCAGGAGGCGGAGGUUACAGUGAGCCAGGAUUGUGCCACUGCACUCCAGCCUGGUGACAGAGCAAGACUCUGUCUCAAAAAAAAAAAAAAAAAAAAAAAAAAAAGCAUAUCUAUGGAGACAGAAAGCAAGUUAGUUGCCUGAGGCUAAAAAUGUGACCACCACAUAUAUAAAAUUCUGUGCAUCCUAGCUAGCAAAUUUAAACAAAAUUCCUAUAGCUUUUAAUUUAUGGAGAUUAGCUUUGUUGACCUCAUAAGUGAGACCUUCUUUUAAAGAUAAUUACUGUAUUUGAAUUUGUUUCAUUCAUUAACUCACCAAAUCUUUGUGAGUACCUUUUAUAUGCUAGGUACUGUUUCUAGGAUUACAACAGUGAACAAAAACCAAGAAGACUUCUCUUUUUGAGGAAUGAGGUGGAGGUGCAUAGGAGUUUGCUGUUUUUUAAUAAGAUAAUCAGGGAAAGGCUCUCUGGUAAGGUUAAGUAGAGAUCUGAUUUUUAUUCUUAAAAGUAGAGAUCUGAAAUAAGUGAAAGCAUGAAUGAUGUAGCUAUCUAGGUGAAAAAUUUUUGAGGCAGGGGAAUCAGUAAGUAUAGAGACAGGUAAGAGAAUGCUCAGCAGGUUUGAGGAAUGGCAGAGAGAUUUGUAUGACUUGAAGCAAAAGUGAAAGAAUAGUGUUAGGGAACAAAAUCAGAGGUUUUACAUUGAGUAGGGUCUUGUAAGCCAUGGUCAGGAUUUUGAAUUUUUCCCUGAAUGAGAUGGGAAGGCAAGAGAAGGUUUGAGCAGAGGAAGGACAUGAUCUGAUCUGCAUUUUUAAUGGAUCACUCUGGGUUCUGUAUGAGGAAAGAAGGUAGAAAAGGGGAAAUAAUUGGUAGUAGUUAGUUGUCCAGGUGAGAAAUGAUGUUUAGAGCAGGAAGUAGUCUUGGAAGCAGUCAUAGUGGUCAGGUUCUGGAUAUAUUUUGAGAGAAGAAACAAUAGGAUUUGUUUACAUAGUGUAUGAGAAGAGAAGAAUCAAGGAAGGAUAAAAGAUUUUGACUUGAGCAACUGGAAGAAUGGAAUUGCCACUUACUAAGAUGGAGAAGAACAAGCUUAAAGGGAAAAAUCAAGAGAUUGGUUUUAGAUGCUUAAGAUUGUGGUGGCUAUUCAAGAGGAAAUAUUGAGCAUGUAUGACUGGAUAUAAGAACCUGAAGUUCAGAAGAGAGGUCUGACUAUAAGAUACAAAUUUAAGCAUUGGCUAUAAGUAAAUGGUAUCCAUUGAACUGGCUUUACAAUUAUGCACUAUACAUACAAUGAAAACUUCUCUUUUUAUUUUUUUCUUGUGUUAUGGAAUAUUGAUGUCUUGUUCUCUUUGGGACUCUUCUCUUUAAAACAAUGAUUUUUACCCUCAUUUAUUUCCUAUGUUUUAAAAUAGAAUUUGAAAUCAGCAAAAAACUUUUGGCAUUGCCAACCUCAUCAGUUUCUGAUAGUUAUCUUCCAAAACUACAAAUGGAUAUUUAAAAUGCAUAAUAUGUAGCUCUUUUUUUUAAUUUUUAAUUUUUAUUGUUUGUUUGUUUGUUUUAUUUAUUUAUUGUUUUUGAGAUGGAGUUUCGCUCUUGUUACCCAGGCUGGAGUGCAAUGAGGCGAUCUCAGCUCACCGCAACCUCCGCCUCCUGGGUUCAGGCAAUUCUCCUGCCUCAGCCUCCUGAGUAGCUGGGAUUACAGGCAUGCACCACCAUGCCCGGCUAAUUUUUUGUAUUUUUAGUAGAGAUGGGGUUUCACCAUAUUGACCAGGAUGGUCUCGAUCUCUUGACCUCGUGAUCCACCCGCCUCGGCCUCCCAAAGUGCUGGGAUUACAGGCUUGAGCCACCGCGCCCAGCUAUUUAUUUUUUUAAAGACAGGGUUUCAACAUGUUGAUCAGGCUGGUCUUGAACUCCUGACCUCAGGUGAUUCACCCGCCUUGGCCUCCCCCAAAGUGCUUAAAUUACAGGUGUGAGCCACUGCGCCUGGCCUAGCUCUUAAUUAUUAGAUAGUUGAAUGUCAUUUAAGAGGUACAGACCAUUCAGCAAGAGAUAGGAAAAGUGUCAUUAUGAAUUUAAAAUUUAACAUUUUAAACAGGUAUGGAUUUAUAACAUCAUUCUCAAUCAUGACUUCAGGGUCUAUGUGUUCUUUUAAGUUCAUUUCUUUUUUUCAUUUUCUCUAUUUUAAUGUAAAGGAAAUGCGAAAUUUUGAAUUAUAUUUUUCAAAGUUAUUAGAAUAAUUAUAAUGGAAGUGUUAAUGUUAAAAAGUCUUUAUCAAGACCUAAUAUUAAAUUGUAUAACUUGCUUAUUCUACUUUUCUAUGAAGAUUAACCUUAUACCAACUUAGCUGCUUAAGGAUAUUACCUGCGUCUUUUUCAUUAUAAUAAGCAAAUGUGUGUGUGGGAGUUUAUAUGGUAUUUGCUUAUUGGAAUCAUUUUUGGAAAAUGAUGGUUCAAUUCUGUUCAUUGAUGAGGAAACCUUUUUAAAAAUAAUUUUAGAUUUUUUUCUACUGCAGUUUUUACUAUACUGCUUUUGCCACUAUUCGCAAUUAUACUUAGUAGAAAUGCUCAAUUGGUAAAAUUAUGCCAUAUCUAGUUCUGUAAAUUUCUACCUUACUCUUAUGUGGUUGCAAAUAUAUAGUUAUCUUUAUGUGAGAUGUUACUGCCCUUACUAGAAACCUCAAAAUACCUCAUAAUACUAUGCUUGUUCUUGAAGUGAUGGUUUUAAAAGCUAUGCGUAAGAAACUGUCAGUUAUCUUCAGUAUAGUUGAUUAUUCAUUACUUAUUCAGGAUGAGGCAAUAUGCUAUAUAUAUCUAAUCAAAGUAAUCAGUGGUUCCUAUAAAUAAAUUGUAUUCAAAGAAACAUUUGUUAAUUAGUAAAUAAACACACAUACAGUUGCUUCUCAAUUUACAGUAGUUAGGUUCUGUAAAGUUAUUACAAACACUGAAUCAGUGAAUAUAGAAGCAUUGCUCCUAGUAAGAGUUAAGGUUGUUUAACAUGACUAUGUUUUUCAUAAGGCACCUCAUAAUCUUCUUAUGCAUUAGAAUACUAGGUAACAUAUCAGCAUUAUGCAUAGGGACCAUUGUAAACAUCAAAAUUACUAGCACAAAGCAUAAAAAUGUGAAAAACAGCAUGAAGGAGAGUGAGAAAAGGACACCCUGAGACCUGAAAUAAAAAGACAGAACAAACAUCACUUUGUUUGACCUGAGCUGGGAGUGUGUGCUUCAGGUAAAUCAAAUUUUUUGCCACUUUGUACGUGUCCAUAAAUGACUGUGAAAGUAUUGACUUUGGGGUUACAAAUAAAUUUUAGUGACUAUGGAUUUGCAAAUAUAGACCUUGCACAUAAUGAGGAUCAACUGUAUUUAUGUGUGCAUAUAAACAUACACACAUAUACAUACAUGACUUUUUUUUCAUUCCUGCCUGGAAUGCAUUUUAAUCUCUUUUCUGUCUGUUCUAUCUUUUUAACAGAAUACAUCUGUAUUCUAACUAUUCAGCUCCCUGCUUAGAUAUGUUAUCCUAUCUCAGAAACUGUUUCCAGCUCUCUUUUUUUUUUUUUUUUUUUUUUUUUUGAGACGGAGUUUUGCUGUUGUUACCCAGGCUGGAGUGCAAUGGCACGAUCUCGGCUCACUGCAACCUCUGCCUCCUGGGUUCAAGCAAUUCUUCUGCCUCAGCCUCCCGAGUAGCUGGGACUACAGGCGCUCACCACCAUGCCCAGCUAAUUUUUGUAUUUUUAGUAGAGACGGGGUUUUACCAUGUUGCCCAGGAUGGUCUCAAUCUCUUGACCUCAUGAUCCACCCGCCUCGGCCUCCCAAAGUGCUGGGAUUAUAGGCGUGAGACACCGCGCCCAUCCUCCAGCUCUCUUAAAUAGUCAUUGAGUAUGAUCUCAUAUCCCUGGGUACAUGUCUUUUACAAUAUUUUUCACAUUUUGUGUUAAUUCUUUGCCUAGAUUAUUAAGACUGUGAGCUCCAUAACGACAGGGACUUUUCUCAUUUACCUCUGUAUCCUUAGUGAUCAACACAGGGACUAACACAUAGUUGAAAUUAAAUUUUAAAAAAAAAUUUUUUUUUGAGAUGGAGUUUCACUUUUGUUGCCCAGCCUGGAGUGCAGUGGGUAGGCUUCUGUAAAAUUAACAGACAGGGGAAAACCCUGUAAAGUGGUUGGUUGCAGAAGUUUAGUAGGUAAGGGCUAAAAUUCGUUGAUAAAGCAGUGACAGCAUGUGAGAGGAUUGACUCCAAUUUUGAAAGUUCAAUUGUGGGCCAAAUUUUGUCAACCAGCACUGUAUGCUACAGAGAAAUCUUUUAUGAGGAAGAGUCAAUAGGUGUGGCAAACUUCAUUGUUGUCUGUCUCUUUUUUUUUUUUUUCUUGAGGCGGAGUCUUCACUCUGUCCCCCAGGCUAGAGUACAGUGGUGCAAUCUCAGCUCACUGCAGCCUCCACCUUCCAGGUUCAAGCGGUUCUCUCUUGCUUUAGCCUAGUGAGUAGCUGGGACUCCUGACCUCAUGAUUCACCUGCCUCAGCCUCCCAAAGUGCUGGGAUUACAGGUGUGAGCCACCCCACCUGGCCCGUUGUCUCAUUUUAAGAAAUUAUUACAGUCACUGCAACCUUCAGCAAUCACCACCUUGAUCAGUAAGCAGCCAUCAAUUUGGAAGCAAGACCUUCCACCAGCAAAAAGCUUAUCACACUCUGAAGAUUGUGAGCAUUUUUUAGCAAUAAAAUACUUUUAAAUUAAGGUAUGUGCAAUUUUUUUGACAUCAUGCUGUUGUACACUUAAUAGACUAUAGUAUAAUGUAAACAUAACUUUUAUAUGCCCUGGGAAACCAUAAUGUUUGUACAACUCACUUUGUUGUAAUAUUUUUAUUUUGCAAUAAAGCAAUAUUUGUUUUAUUGUGGUAAUCUGGAGCUGAACCCACAGUAGCUUUGAGGUAUGCCUGUACUAUAGUUUCUUUAACCUGUUUCCUUAUUGAUGUUGUUUUGUUCCAGUUUGGGGCUAUUACAAACAACGUGGCAAUGAAUAUUCUUGUUAAUGUCUUCUUAUGCACAUAUGUAAAUUUUCUCUAGUUAUGCUUGGGAGUGGAUUGCUGAAUCUAGGUUAUGCUCAUCUUGAACUUUAUUCUAUAGGGCAUGUAGUGUGCCAGAUAUUAUUCUAAGUACCAAAUAUAAAUACGUACUUCACAACUAUCCUGUGAGAUAAAUAUUAUUUUCCCUGUUUUACAGAUUGGGAAACUAAGACACAGAGAGAUAAGGUGACCUGCCCAAAUCACAUAGCUAGUAUGUAGCAGAUCCAAGCAAUUUGAUUCCAAAAUCCAGGCUUUUACCACCCCAUCAUGCCACAGCAUGCUUGACAUUUUGGGAAUGAAUGCAUGUAUUUUUCUGCUGUAUGCUUAUCUAAUCUCUUCAAAUCUUGGUUCUUUUUCAAAGUUUGAUGUUGUUUAAUCAAGGGGGAAAAUAUUCACUAGAAAUAUCAUCACCAUAAAAAAUUGUCAAUGUGAUCAACAUGAGCCACUGCCUUGACUUUGAUCAAUAGUCAGGAAACUAAACUAUCAAUGUUCUUCCCCUUUUGAACAAAUUACAUUGCAUUUUUUGAUUACAUAACUACUGAGGUGUUCUAUUAAAAAAUAAAAAAUGGGCUGGGUGCAGUGGCUCAGGCCUGUAAUCCCAGCACUUUAGGAGGCCAAGGCAGGUGGAUCACUUGAGAUCAGGAGUUUGAGACCAGCCUGGCAAACAUGGUGAAACCUCAUGUCUACUAAAAAUACAAAAACUAGCUGGCCAUGGUGGCAUGCGCCUGUAGUUUCUACUACUCAGGAGGCUGAGACAGGAGAAUCACUUUAAUCCAGGAGGCAGAGGUUGCAAUGAGCUAAGAUGGCCCCACUGCACUCCAGCCUGGACAACAGAGUGAGACUCUAUUUCAAAAAAUAAUAAUAAAGAUAGAAUAUGAAAAAUUAAAAUAUAAUUAUAACAGCUAAAAAUUUCUGUUCUGUAAUGUAGCUUAAUAUUUCAGACUACUGAUUGUAUUAUACAUUAGUAAUAAAGAUUAAAAGAAUGUUCUAAAUUAUGGAAAGUGAGGAAAAGGAGAAGAAAUGAGAAAAUAAUAGAUAUGUAUAUAGAGUUAUAGAAGUAGCUCUAUGUCUUCAUAGUUUAAUGCUGGUUGGAAAUUUCAGACUGUUAUGAGGGUGUAAGAAUUUUUUUUCAUUCUUACUGCUAAGAUAGGGUUGCAGUCAAUCUAAAGUUUGUUAUAGAUCUUUGUGGGAGAAAAAAAGGAAGAUAAAUGUCUGGGUUUUUUUUUCCUUUAUAAGUUCGUCAGCUAAACCAGCUAUGCUGCAUUGUAUGAGUGGAUUUAGGAUGCUAGGGAUCCUUCACCAAUUUUUUUUUAGAAUAAAAUAUGCCCAUUAAGUAUCAUUUAUUUAAUCUAGCGUGUGGGAUGUGAAGCAUUUCCCACAGAAGUCAUUUGUCUCUGUCUAUGGAUAGGCCUUCCUAGGGAACAGUUCAUGAGAUUGCUUUUUCUCCUGACUCCUUUAAUGCUUUGUUUGCAGUUCCUGAAUCCAAAUUAUAAAUUUAUCUUGCAGUAUUAUACUUCUGAUGAUGAACUUACUGACAGUAACAAUCAACUGCCAUCAUUGUUUUGCUUAAAAAAAAAACUUAAUCCUGCCGGGCACAGUGGCUCACACCUGUAAUCCCAGCACUUUGGGAGGCCAAGGUGGACAGAUCACGAGGUCAGGAGUUCAAGAUCAUCCUGUUCAACGUGGUGAAACCCUGUCUCUACUAAAAAUACAAAAAUUAGCCAGGCGUAGUGGUAUGCACCUGUAGUCCCAUCUACUCAGGAGGCUGAGGCAGGAGAAUCACUUGAACCUGGGAGGCAAAGGCUUCAGUGAGCCGAGACUGCACCACUGCACUCUAGCCUGGGUGACAGAGCAAGACUCUUUCUCAAAAUAAAAGGAAAACUUAGUCUUUCAAAAUACCAACAUUUUAAUCUUUCAAAUAUAGGCAUUGUGAAGCAAAAAAUAAUAAAUAAUGAACCAUGGAAAAUAUUUAUUAAAGUAUAUUAGAAACAUAUAGAUCCAUAUAGUCAUGUUUAGUUGGAUAACAUCACAAAUUUAUAUGUGCAAGAAAUAUAAAAUUAUUUUAUUUUCUAUAAAUUUUUCUUUUUGAGACAGAGUCUCACUCUGUUGCCAGGCAACCUCCGCCUCUUAGGUUCAAGCAGUUCUCCUGCUUCAGCCUCCCAAGUAGCUGGAACUACAGGUGCAUGCCACCACGCCCAACUAAUUUUUGUAUUUUUUAGUAAAGACCGGGUUUCACCAUGUUGGCCAGGAUGUUCUCGAUCUUCUGACCUCGUGAUCUGCCCGCCUCAGCCUCCCAAAGUGCUGGGAUUACAGAUGUGAGCCACCACACCCGGCCUAUUUCCUAUAAAUUAAAUUAAAACUGAUUUUGAAUUGCCCAACCUAGUAAAAUAAAGAUUUAUAUCAUUCAUUAUGGGAACACAUAGAAAAGAAUAUGUCUUUCUUCCUUUCCUUCCUUGGUCCUCUCCAAUCCAAGAGUAGCAGGAAAACCUAAGAAUCUUUUCGGAAAAAAGAAAACAAGUAGGAGAUGGGCCGACUUGUCUGCAGUUAUCACCAUCAUGGACUGAUAACCCUUAUUGAAAAAGUUCAUGCUUCAAGUCUAAUGACAUUACUGCUUUCUGGUCAAGCUUGGGCAUGGGAAACUCUGCUGAUUAUGAGUCCCUAGUAACUACAGUCCAGGCUCCCAAGAUACUCCAUGUAGCCAUCUUCUUUGAGGUUUUGUCAUUUCCUUGGGGAACAGCCAGGAAGUAGUGUUCAGGUCACAACUAUCCCUGGUGUUGCUACACAUUUUUCCAAUUUGGACAAGUUGGGUUUAGCAGGUUAUUCCCCUGUCUCCCUUACAAUUCUCAAAGCUUUGCCUUUAUCUUAAGCUUCCAGAAAAUAAAAGUUCAAAGGCAGAUUAUCUACAAAUAACUUCUGCUUUACACUCCGUAACUCACAUCUUCUGUAAAUAAUGGAACCUGAAGACCUGGUUACCUGUUUAGAAUGAGGAAAGGGGAAAAGAAGAAGAGAACAAAUGAAAAUUAAAAUCUUUUUUUUUUUUUGAGACGGAGUUUCUCUCUUGUUACCCAGGCUGGAGUGAUCUUGGCUCACUGCAACCUCUCCCUCCUGGGUUCAGGCAAUUCUCCUGCCUUAGCCUCCUGAGUAGCUGGGAUUACAGGCACGUGCCACCAUGCCCAGCUAAUUUUUUUUUGUAUUUUUAGUAGAGACGGGGUUUCACCAUGUUGACCAGGAUGGUCUCGAUCUGUUGACCUCGUGAUCCACCCGCCUCAGCCUCCCAAAGUGCUGGGAUUACAGGCUUGAGCCACUGCGCCCGGCCGAAAAUUAAAAUCUUAAUAAAUUGUCCUGCCACACUGACAUGCACACCCACAGAUAUAGCAUACCACUUUUCUGCCUAGUCCUGGCUUCUGGGUUGUUCAGUUUUUAUUGAGCACUAGUAGGAAGAGGGCCUAGAGUAUUAUAGAUUAACCUAUAUUUAUGAAUAAUUGAGAACUGACUAAUAAAAUGGGCAACUUCGAUAUUAUGUUUACUUGUUAAAAUCAGAGUAAAGUUUUGUUACCUAGGGUUCUCUCCUCUUCCCUUGCCAAUUAUUAGAAAAGUAAUCUAAUGUUUUCCGAAUAAAUAUAUCAUUGUGGAGGACUUUCAAUAGAAACUAAAGGAUAGCAAAGUAGCACAGAUCUAUAAUGAGUCAUAGAAACCAGAUCUGAUAGUAUUAUGACUUUUACUUGAAUUUGAAAUAACUUUAAUAACAGCCAAAAAUCAUUAUUGAGGUCUAUACUAUUCUGAAAGCUGAGAUAGAGAAGAAAGGUGAAUAUAUGUCCUUACAAGGAUCUUGCAGAUAGUGAAAAAUAUGUGAAUAAGUUCAUAAUUAUGACAUAAAAAAUUUAAAAGAUGCCAUGAAAGCAUAGAAGUGGAAGAAAAGAAGUUGAUGAAGGCUGCUGAAGGAGGUAAGGUUUUAACUGAGUUUUAGGGCCAAGUAAGGGUUAUUGACUAAAUGAAGAGAAGUUCAGGCUGAGGAAAUGGCAUCAAUGAAGUUGUAUUAAUGUGAAACAACAGGGCGGAGCGCAGUGGCUCAAGCCUGUAAUCCCAGCACUUUGGGAGGCUGAGGCGGGUGAAUCACAAGGUCAAGAGAUCGAGACCAUCCUGGUCAACAUGGUGAAACCCCUUCUCUACUAAAAAUACAAAAAAUUAGCUGGGCACGGUGGCACGUGACUGUAAUCCCAGCUACUCAGGAGGCUGAGGCAGGAGAAUUGCCUGAACCCAGGAGGCUGAGGUUGCAGUGAGCCAAGAUUGCGCCAUUGCACUCCAGCCUGGGUAACAAGAGGGAAACUCCGCCUCAAAAAAAAAAAAAAAAUGAAACAACAUAACACACAGUCAUGUCUACCUCUACUAUGUAAAUAGUUGCAUAUAGCUGGAGUAAAGCGUAUCUAGGAGGAAUGGUGUGAAGGCAGAGACAGCAUGGGUCAGAUAUGCUAAAUUAAGCCUAUCUUAAGUGUCUCUUGCCACUGAAACCUUGGUGAAAUAAAAUCUGAAAAAAACUUACUAUAAUUCCUCCCUUUACUAUUUUGUUAAGUUUAAAGUUUAUGUUACCUCUUACAUGGUUAAUUGUAAGUUCUUAAUAGUGCUGUCCCAUGGAGAAAAUAUCUCUUAGCACCACGAUGAUAUCCGAAUAGGUGAUCCUGACAUUUUAUCUUACUAAUUAUCUAUUACUUUUACUAUACAUAAUUCAGUUCUAUUGGGCUACUACUGGCAAGUGCGUUAUUAAAUAAUAAAGUAAUGUUACUCAAUUGAAUGAAAUACAUUGAGAGAAAAGUGAUGAAAAGGAGUUAAAAGAAUGAUUUUUAUUGAAAUAAAGAGCAAGGUCAAUUAUAAACCUACACCAUGUGUAUAGAAAAAAAACCUAUUUGGCCAGGCACAGUGGCUCAUGCCUGUAAUCCCAGCACUUUGGGAGGCCGAAGCAAGUGGAUCAUGAGGUCAGGAGUUUGAGACCAGCCUGGCCAACAUGGUGAAACCCUGUCUCUAUUAAAAAUACAAAAAUUGAAAAAGGUCCCGCAGAGCUGAGCAGUCAAGAUGUGUGACUUCACCGAAGACCAGACUGCAGAGUUCAAGGAGGCCUUCCAGCUGUUUGACCGAAAAGGUGAUGGCAAGAUCCUGUACAGCCAGUGUGGGGACAUGAUGAGGGCCCUAGACCAGAACCCCACCAACACCGAGGUGCUCAAGGUCCUGGGGAACCCCAAGAGUGAUGAGAUGAAUGUGAAGGUGCUGGACUUUGAGCACUUUCUGCCCAUGCUGCAGACAGCGGCCAAGAACAAGGACCAGGGCACCUAUGAGGAUUAUGUUGAAGGACUCGGGUUUUUGACAAGGAAGGAAAUGGCAUCGUUAUGGGUGCUGAAAUCCAGCAUGUUCUUGUCAUACUGGGUGAGAAGAUGACAGAGGAAGGAGUAGAGAUGCUGGUGGCAGGGCACGAGGACAGCAGUGGUUGUAUCAACUACGAAGAGUUCGUCCACAUGGUGCUGAAUGGCUGAGGACCUUCCCAGUCUCCCCAGAGUUCGUGCCUUUCCCUGUGUGAAUUUUGUAUCUAGCCUGAAGGCGCCCUAGGCUAGCUUGUCUCAGCACCUUUUCCAUCUUGUCGCUCUUGGAUUCACCAUCAGCAUUCACCAAAUAAAACCUGCUCUCUGGGCCAAAAUAAAUAAAUAAAUAAAAAUACAAAAAUUAGCUGGGUGUGGUGGUGCGUGCCUGUAAUCACAGCUUUUCAGGAGGCUGAGGCAGGAGAAUUGCUUGAACCAGAGAGUUUGAGGUUGCAGUGAGCUGAGAUUAUGCCGCUGCACUCCAGCCUGUCGACAGAGCAAAGACUUCAUCUUAAAAAAAACAAAAAACAAAGAACUUUUUUCGUCUACUAUUCUCAGUACUCCACUCCUGAUACCAGAUGUGUAGGGGUUUCUCCCACACAAAGCAAUUUUCUAAUUCUCUGCCAGCACCAAGUGUCCUACAGGGUGUCCUACAAUUCUAUUCUGACACUAACCAGAGUUAGUACAGACCCCACACAUUAGGAAUUCAGUCCCAUAAGACUACCCUCCACUUCUGAUGCAAAUUGCAAAUAGUAGGUCUCCAAGUUGCCCACAAUUUCUGUUCAAUUAGGUUUUCAUGACCCCCUUCUCAGGUUUGAUAAUUUGCUAGAGUAGCUCACAAAACCCAGGGAAACAGUUUACUUACUAUGUUAUCAGUUUAUUCUAAAAUAAUAUAACUCAGGAUCACCCAGUUGGAGUAGAUACAUAGGUCAGAGUAUGAGGGAGUGUUUAACUUUUUCAUACCCUCUCUGGAUGCACCACCCUCUAAGCACCUCCAUAUAUUCAGCAACCUGAAAGCUCUCUGAACCCUGUAUUUCUUUUGUUUUAUGGAGGCUUGCUUAUGUAGGCAUCAUUUAUUAAAUCAUUGGCCAUUAAACCCUUUUUUCCUUCCCAGAGGUCACUGGAGUUGGGUCUAAAAGUUCUAACCCUCUAAUCACAUGGUGGCUUUACCUGCAACCAACCCCCAUCCUGAAGUUAUUCUGGAGCCCCCAGCCACCAGCCAUCUCAAUAGCAUACAAAAAGACACGCUACUUUGGAGACUCUUAAGCGUUUUAGGAGCUAGCUGUGUGCCAGCAAAUGGGCAGAAACCAUAUAUUUAUGAUCACACUAUGAAAGUGAUAAAAUUUAUAUAAACACUUAAGAAUUACAUUGAAUAAUCAGCCGUUCUACCCUAAUCAUGUGUUAAAACUUCUCUGGUUAGCUGUGUCACCUAAAAUGAGUGAUAGAGAGAUCAACUCUACAAAGUAGAAUUUUUUUGCGAAUAGCAGGGGACCACAGUCCAGAAUAUGUGUGCUGUGAUGGAUCAUGGGCAUAUCUGAGGUGUUGCAGCAAAAGGGAGAUUUUUAAAGACAGAAGUCCAUAAAAGCUGCUUUGAAACAAAGUCCAUAGGUCACUGAAGCCCAUUGUAGUAAUUGGCAUUUGUUCAUUGUGGAGACAGUUAUUGCUAGGUAAGUGUCUUUGUGCAGGUAGCUUAUCUGGAAUAUUGCAAUUUUGAGGAAGUUAUUACAGUAAGUCCUAUUGCUGGUCUGUGUGGAGGAAUAUCUUGUGAUAAGUCCUCCUAUAGGCCUUUGUGCAUGAGUGCUUCCCCUUCAUGGCCACCUGACUCCACUGUUAAGUGACUCCAUUUUGGCACUGGCAGCUUUCACAGCUAUCAAGUAUAGUUUUUUUUUUACAGCUUACCCUUUGUAUAUUAGAUAAUACAGCAUUCUACUGCUAAGCAAAUAUCUUGGGUGCUGUAGAAUAUUUUGAAACAACAUAUAAAUACAUUUAGAUAUAUUUAUUGAUGCUAAGGAGAAAUUUUUUAAACAAAACUCAGGAUAAUAGAAAUUGUUUUAUAAUAGAUCUUUCAGUAAGUUUCAGAGUAAAUUUAAAAAUAGACUUCUUUCCUUUUUAAUGGUGUUAGUAGAAAGGGAUCAAGUCAUUGUAGCUUAGCAGAUUAAGUGCCAAACAGAGAGAAAUCAAUUGCAUUCUCUUUACCUUCUUCUUUUUAACAUUGUUUUUAAGGCUGAGCACAGUGGAUCAUGCCUCUAAUCCCAGCACUUUGGGGAGGCCAAGGCAGGUGGAUCACCUGAGGUGAGUUCAAGACCAGCCUGGUCAACAUGGUGAAACCCCGCCUCUUUAAAAUACAAAAAUUAGCCACUCAUGGUGGUGGGCACCUGUAAUCACAGCUACUCUGGAGGCUGAGGCAGGAGAAUUGCUUGAACUUGGGAGGCAGAGGUUUCAGUGAACCAGGAUCAUGCCACUGCACUCCAGCCUGGGUGACAGAGCAGGAUUCUGUCUUUAAAAAAAAAAAAAAGUGUUUAGAGACAGGGUAUCACUAUGUUGCCCAGGCUGAUCUCAAACCUCUGGUCUCAAAUGAUCCUCCUGCUUUUCAGCCUCACAAAGUGCUGGGAGUAACACAGAAAACUCUAAACAGGAAAAGUGAACACACAGGGAAUCUUGCACCAUCUAAUUUAGUGGAUUAGGGAAACUGUGUGGAUAUCCAUCUCUAAUGCUUUGAAAUUAUAUCUACUUUUGUGCCAUCUCCCAGUGGUCUGCAGCUACUCCUUCAUAUUUUCUGCUUCACUUUCUGAUUCUCUGUUGUUUUCUUCUAACUGUUGGAUAUUUUCCCUUAGACCAGGCUGCUUAUUCUAUAGAUAGCUCUAGCAACUAGGCACAGUCAAAUGUCAUGUAAUAAAAAUCAGUUACAACUAGGAAGUAUUUUAAAACGUCAGCAACUGGAAAGCUAAUUUAGUGUUUUUUUUUCCCCCAAGCAGCAGGUGCCGAGUAAGCUAGUUUAAUUUCAAUUAUUUGUCUACCAACAAGGCUACUUAAGUAGCCUCUGUCUCUGUUCAAAGCAAGCUGGACUAAUGUCUUUGGCUUCAUUAAGUUACUCAGUUUUUACAGAUGAUAUACCUACUUUUCUGAUUGCAGUUAGUGGGAAAGUAAGAGAGAUAAUAGGUAUAAUGCUGCUUAACCUAUAUAAAGUAGAGAAUAAUUUAGAUACAGUGAGAAACUAUUAAAAUUCCUAGGGGAUAGGAUAAAGGCUGAUAACUAAUCUAAAUUUUUUAUUUUUCUGAGAUGGAAUCUUGCUCUGUAACCCUGGCUGGAGUGCAGUGGUGCAACUUCAGGCCACUGCAACCUCUGCCUCCUGGGUUCAAGGGAUUCUUCUGCCUCAGCCUCCUGGAUAGCUGGGACUACAAGCCUGCGCUACCAUGCCCAGCUAAUUUUUGUAUUCUUAGUAGAGACAGGGUUUCACCAUGUUGGCCAGGAUGGUCUCUAUCUCCUGACCUCUUGAUCCACCUGCCUUGGCCUCCCAACUUACAGCUAGGAUUAUAGGCAUGAGUCACUGUGCCCACCACCGCCCCCAUCCCCCGUUUUUUUGUUUGUUUGUUUUUGAGAGUCUUUUUUUAUUUUUUUUUGAGAUGUAGUCUUGCUGUGUCGCCAGGCUGGAGUGCAGAGGCGCAAUCUCGGCUCGCUACAACCUCCGCCUCCUGGGUUCAAGCGGUUCUUCCGCCUCAGGCUCCCAAGUAGCUGGGACCACAGGCGCGUGCCACCAUGCCAAGCUAAUUUUUGUAUUUUUAGUAGAGACAGGGUUGUACCAUGUUGGCCAAGGUGGUCUCUAUCUCUUGACCUCGUGAUCCACCCACCUCGGCCUCCCAAAGUGCUGGGAUUAAAGGCAUGAGCCACCACGCCCGGCCUGAGAUAGAGUCUUGCUCUGUUUCCCUGGCUGGAGUGUACUGGCGCAGUCUUGGCUCGCGGCAAUCUCUGCCUCCCAGGUUCAAGUGAUUUUCCUGCCUCAGCUUCCUGAGUAGCUGGGAUUAUAGGUGCGUGCCACCACACCAGGCUACUUUUUGUAUUUUUAAUAGAGAUGGGGUUUCACUAUGUUGGUUAGGCUUGUCUUGAAUGCCUGACCUUGUGAUCCGCCUGCCUUGGUCUCCUAAAGUGCUGGUAUUACAGGUGUGAGCCACCAUACCUGGCCUCAAGCCCACUUUCAAAUAACACUACACCAUUUCAUUGAUAGUGUGAGUACAUUAUAAUAAUAAAAUAAUUCUAACUCCUACUUGCCAUCUCUUGUAUCGUUGUUAUUUAUUUUACCUAUACAUAAACAUAAGCAUAUAGAUAUAUAUGUAUACACAUAAGAUAUAUACAUAUUCAUAAUCAAAUGUAGUGUUGCCAUUAUGGACAAACUGUUAGGUUGAAUCAAUUAGGAAUAAGAAAAAUAGGCCAGGCGUGGUGGCUCAAGCCUGUAAUCCCAGCACUUUGGGAGGAUAAGGUGGGCGGAUCAUGAGCUCAAGAAAUUGAGACUGUCCUGGCCAACAUGGUGAAACCCCGUCUCUACUAAAAAUACAAAAAUUAGCUGGGUGUGGUGGCAUGCGCCUGUAGUCCCAGCUACUCGGGAGGCUGAGGCAGGAGAAUUGCUUGAAUCCAGGAGGCGGAGGUUGUAGUGAGCUGAGAUUGUGCCACUGCACUCCAGCCUGGCACCUGGCGACAGAAUGAGACUCUGUCUCAAGAAAAAAAGAAUAAGAAAAAUAAAAGCUUUAACUUUUAUUAUUACUUAUUCCUUCUUUUGUGCUUUUUUCUUUUUUUAUGUACAUCUCAGUUCUGACUUGUAUCAAUUCCUUCUUUCCAAAGAACUUUUUUUUUGAGACAGAGUUUUGCUCUUGUCGCCUAGGCUGGAGUGCAGUGGGGUGAUCUCAACACACUGCAACCUCUACCUCCUGGGUUCAAGCAAUUCUCCUGCCUCAGCUUCCUGAGUAGCUGGGAUUACAGGUGUCCACCACCACGCCUGGCUAAUUUCGUGUGUACACACACAUAUAUAUUUUUAGUAGAGACAGGGUUUUGCCAUGUUGGGCAGGCUGGUCUCAAACUCCUGACCUCAGGUGAUCCACCCACUUCUGCCUCCCAAAGUGCUGGGGUUACAGGCAUGAGCCACUGCGUCCGGCCCCAAAGAACUUCUUUUAAUAUUUCUUGCAAGGCAGGUCUACUGGCAACAAAUUUCCUCAGUUUUUUUGUUUGUCUGAGAAAGUCUUUAUUUCUCCUUCACUCUUUCCUCCCCUUCCCCCACACCCGACUGAGACAGGUUCCCACUCUGUCAGCCAGGUUGGAAUGCAAUGGCAUGAUUAUAGUUCACCGUAACCUUGAACUCCUGGGCUCAAGCAAUCCUGCCUCAGCCUCCUGAGUAGUUAGGAUUACAGGUACAUGCCGCCACACCUGGAUAUCUUUGUUUCCCUUUUGUAGAGACAGGCUCUUGCUAUGUUGCCUGUCUGGACUUGAAUUCCUGGCCUCCAGCAAUCCUUCCAAAGCACUGGGAUUAUAGGUGUGAGCCACCAUGGCUGACCUCUCCUUCACUUUUGAAGUAAUAUUGCAGGGUACAGAAUUCUAGGUUGGUGGUUUUUUUCUCUCAACAGUGUUUUUUCACUCCAUUCUCUUCUUGCUUGCCUGGUUUCUGAGGAAAACACAGAUACAGUUCUUGUCUUUGCUCCUCUAUAAGUAAGGUGUUUUAGUUUUCUGGCUUCUUUCAAUAGUUUAUUCUUUAUCCUUGAUUUUCUUUAUCUUUUUUCUUUCUGAGAUAGAGUCUCACUCCCUGCACCCGGUUAUCAUUAUCAUUUUAAAUAUUUCUUUUGUUACUUUCUGUCUUUCCUUUUGCCUGGUAUUUAUAUAAUGAGUCGCCUCACAGUUUUUGAAUAUUCUGUUCUUUUUUUUUUUUUUUAAAUGAAUGAGAGGUUCUUAUGUUGCCCAGGCUGGCCUCGAACAUGUAGCCUCACCUCAAGUGCCAGGACAACUGGCAUGAGCCACUGAGGCUCCCUGUUCUGUUUUUUUUGUUUUUAAAGUAUUUGUUUUCUUUGCUUUCCAGUUUUGGAGGUUUCUAUUGUAUAUCCUCAAGCUUAGAAAUUCUUUCCUAAGCCAAGUCUAGGCUACAAAUAAGCCCAUCAAAAGCACUCCUCAUUUCUUUUACAGUAUUUUUUAUCUCUAGGAUUGAUUUUGGUUCGUUCUUAGGGUUUCCACCACUCUGCUUACAUUGCCGACCUCUUUGCAUGUUGUCUAUUUUAUCCAUUAGAGCUUUUAGCAUAUUAAUUAUAGUUGUUUUAAAUUCCUGAUGUGGUAAUCCCAACAUCUCUACCAUAUCUAGUUCUGAUACUUGUCCUGUCUUUUCAAAAUGUGUUUUUUGCUCUUAGUAUGUUUUGUAAUUUUUUCUUAAUAGGGCUUUAGAAAUUCAGUGAUAAGGUGUGUAAUUAGGGGAAGCAUUCUAGAGUCCUAUAAUUAGACUUCAUUCUUUUAGUGAGCCUGUAUCUAUGGAUUAUGAGCUUUACAUAUGGUUUCAGGGUUUGUUUUUUUUUUUUCUUCCCCCUUAGAUGGGACAAGAAGGCUAGAGUGAGCUGCAGAUGGGUAUUGCCCUUCCUCUAGGUCAGUUAAGCUCUGAUAAACCCCAGCAGGUUAGAGUCUGGUUAGCUAGUUUAUCCUGAAGGAAGACCUUGUUAAGAAGAACAGAAUGCUCUGCCACAUUUCAACAUGGUUCCUUUCCCCCUCUUCUUGCCAGAUGCAUGGGAGGAUUUUUCUCUGGUAUUCACUGUGAUGACCUGGUAGAGCUCUUGGAGGUUUAACUCACAAAACUGUGGGGAGCCCCUCUGACUGGGUCUUUCUGGAGUUUCCGACUCUCAGACUUCUACACCUCGCCUCCAGCAGUUUUUCAGUUACAGUUUAGGUUUUCUUACCCUGGACCUGGUUCCUGUGGAAGUUUCUGUUGGAUAUGUUUUAUAAUUCUUUGUAUACAUCUGUCCAAUUUUAGAAGAAGUUGUGACCUCACUUCUCUUACAAAUCUAAGAAGCGUUGUUGGUUUUGCAGUUUGCUUGGCUUUUUACUUGUUGUUAGGUUGGAGUGGACACUUCAAGCUUCUUACAAGUGGAACCAAAGCUGGAAGUCUUCUUCUAUUGUUAAAAUAAUUCUCUUCACAUUUUUUCCCUUUAUUUAAUUAAUUAAUUAAUUAAUUUUUUGAGAGGGAGUUUCGCUCUUGUUACCCAGGCCGGAGUGCAAUGGCACGAUCUCGGCUCACCGCAACCUCCGCCUCCUGGGUUCAGGCAAUUCUCCUCCCUCAGCCUCCUGAGUAGCUGGGAUUACAGGCAUGCGCCACCAUGUCCAGCUAAUUUUUUCUAUUUUUCGUAGAGAUGGGGUUUCACCAUGUUGACCAGGAUGGUCUCGAUCUCUUGACCUCCUGAUCCACCCGCCCUGGCCUCCCAAAGUGCUGGAAUUACAGGUGUGAGCCACCAACCCAGCCUUUUCCCUUUAUUUUAAUUGUAACACAGGAAUUGUAACACGGUAACAAGGUUAAGGGGAUAACACUUAACUUUUUUGUGUGCUACAGAAUAGUGAGGAUCUUUUUUUUUGAGAAGGAGUUUCGCUCUUGUUACCCAGGCUGGAGUGCAAUGGCGCGAUCUCGGCUCACCGCGAUCUCCACCUCCUGGGUUCAAGCAAUUCUCCUGCCUCAGCCUCCUGAGCAGCUGGAAUUACAGGCAUGUGCCACCAUGCCCAGCUAAUUUUUUGGAUCUUUAGUAGAGAUGGGGUUUCACCAUGUUGACCAGGAUGGUCUCGAUCUGUUGACCUCGUGAUCCACCCGCCUCGGCCUCCCAAAGUGCUGGGAUUACAGGCUUGAGCCACCGCGCCCGACCAAUAGUGAGGUUCUUACUAAAGAUUGGAAUAGGCCUUAAGACCAGAUGAAAUAAGCAAUGAUCUAUGCAUGAUUUCAAAGGGUCAGUUAAAGGAUGUUCAGGUGUAUUUAAAAGUAUCUCUACUGGUUAAUAAUAAUAUCUAAAAUUGUAGCACUAGAGGUUUAUUUCUUUGGUUUAUUGUUUUGUUCUUGUUUAAAUGCAGAUAACCGUGAAGGGUUUUCUUUUGUAUGUUUUUAAUAAAAAGUCAUUCAUUCAUUCAACAAAUAUUUGUUGAUUGCCUGCCAUAUAUUAGGUGCUGUUCUAGGUGCUGAAGAUGUGAACAUUAUUGAUUGAGUCCCUAUGGAGGGCAAGAGUGAGAUAGACAGUCAUUCACAAAUAAAUAAUAAGAAAGAUGACAAGAAGUUUCUUUUUUAAAGAGAGUAAGAAAAUCCCCUCUAAUGUUACAUUUAAGCAGAGACUUGAAGGAAAUGAGGGUACGAACCAUAUGACUGUCUGAAGAAAAUUUGUUUCAGGCAGAGAAAAUGAUGCAAAUACAAAGGGCCUGAAGUAAGUGCAUAAUUGGUGUGUUUGAGGAAUAACAAGGAAGCCAGUGUGACUGGAGUGGAUUAAGGAAAGAGUAGCAUUGUAGGAUACAGUCAAUGUGAUACUGUGAUUUAUAGUAAGAAAUAAUACAUUUGGUCUACCUCACCAUUUCCUGACACACAGCUCCUAAAACUCUUAGAAUCUCCAAAGUGAUGUGUCUUUUUGUAUGAUAAUGUUGGUUGGUGGCUCCUAUAUAGCCUCAGGAUGGGGAGGCUGGUUGCCAGGGAAACAGACCAUGUGAUUAAAAGAUUGAAAUUUUUGGCAGUACAGUGGCUCACACCUGUAAUCCCAGCACUUUGGGAGGCUGAGGAGGGUGGAUCACGAGGUCAGGAGUUCAAGACCAACCUAGCCAAAAUGGUGAAACCCUAUCUCUACUAAAAAUACAAAAAUUAGCCGGGCAUGGUGGUGGGCUCCUGUAAUCCCAGCUACUCGGGAGGCUGAGGCAGAGAAUUGCUUAAACCUGGGAGUCGGAGGUUGCAGUAAGCCAAGAUCGCACCACUGCACUCCAGCCUGGGUGACAGCAAGAUUCUGUCUCAAAAAAAAAAAAAAAAAAAGAUUGAAACAUUCAGUCCCACUUCCUCCAUCCAACCCCUACAUCCAGGGAGGGGAGAGGAGCUGAAGGUUGAGCUGGUCACCAGUGGCCAAUGAUUUAAUCAAUCAUGCAUACAUAAUGAAGCCUUUGUAAAAACCCAGAAAAGGACAGGAUUCAAAGAGCUUUUCAUUCUGGGCAGGGUAGCACACCUUUAACUCCACAGGGACAGAAGCUCCUGUGCUUGGGACCCUUCCAAACAUCACCCUAAGUGUCUCUUCAUCUGGCUGUUGAUUUGUAUCCUUUAAAAUAUCCUUUGUUGGCCGGGUGCGGUGGCUCACGCCUAUAAUCCCAGCACUUUGGGUGGAUCACAAGGUCAGGUGGAUCACAAGGUCAGGAGAUCAAGACCAUCCUGGUCAACAUGGUGAAACCCCUUCUCUACUAAAAAUACAAAAAUUAGCUGGGCAUGGUGGCGCGCGCCUGUAGUCCCAGCUACUCGGGAGGCUGAGGCAGGAGAAUUGCUUGAACCCAGGAGGCGGAGGUUGCGGUAAGCCAAGAUCACGCCAUUGUACUCCAGCCUGGGUGACAAGAGCGAAACUCCGUCUCAAAAAAAAAAAAAAUUAGGCUGGGCAUGGUGGCUCAAGCCUGUAAUCCCAGCACUUUAGGAGGCCGAGGCAGGCGGAUCACGAGGUCAAGAGAUCAAGACCAUCCUGGUCAACAUGGUGAAACCCCAUCUCUACUAAAAAUACUAAAAAUUAGCUGGGCAUGGUGGCACGUGCCUGUAAUUCCAGCUACUCAGGAGGCUGAGGCAGGAGAAUUGCUUGAACCCAGGAGGCGGAGGUUGCGGUGAGCUGAGAUCGCACCAUUGCACUCCAGCCUGGGUAAUGAGAGUGAAACUCUGUCUCAAAAAAUAAAAAGUAAAAAAAAAAAUAAUAUAAAAAAAUAAAAAUAAAAUAUCCUUUGUUGAUGCUAUUUCUUAUACCAUUUGUACAAAAAAUAAAAAAUAAAAUAUCCUUUGAAAUAAAUUGGCAAUAGUAAGUAGAGAUAUACCUGAGUUUUGUAAGCUACUCUAGAAAAUUAGUUGGACCUGAAGAGGGGGUCAUGAGAACCCCUAAUUUAUAGUGAAUUGAUCAUUCUACCUAUCUCCAGGUAGAUGGAGUCAGAAUUGAUUGAAUUAUAGGGCACUCACUUGGUGUCUGUUGGAGAAUUGCUUGAUGUAUGGGGAAAAAAAACACACACCUGUGUCAGAAUUAACAUGUUGAGUGUUGAGAGUAGAAAGUGUUUGAUUUUUUCCCAUGUCCUACAGUUAGCAAGGUAAUGAGUGAGUUUAUAAGUAUCUAGCUUUGAGCAGAUUUUUUAAAAAACAAACCUUUGGCCGGGCACGGUGGCCCGUGUCUGUAAUCUCAGCUACUCGGGAGGCUGAGGCAGGAGAAUUGCCUGAACCCAGGAGGCGGAGGUGGCGGUGAGCCGAAUUUGCACCAUUGCACUCCAGCCUGGGUAACGAGUGAAACUCCGUCUCAAAAAAAAAACAAACUUUUAAAUUUUGGAUAAUUUUAGAUGUACAGGAAAGCUGCUAAGAUAAUAUGAUAAUCACCCGUGGGUUCUUCUUGCCUACUGCAUAGAACUGAUUUACUGAGACAGCAGUAUUGCAAUAGAGAAACAGUGUAAUGAAUGUAGAGCCAGCUGAGCAGAAGACAGGAAUUUAUUACUCAAAUCACUCCCUCUGAACAUUCAGGGACUAGGGUUUUUAAAGGAUAAUUUGGCAGCAGGGAGCUAGCGGAAUGCUGAUUGGUUGAGUUGGGGAUGAAAUCAUAGGGGAAUCUAAGUUGUCUUACUGUCUUCACUUCCUGGGUAGGAUUGCAAGACCAGCUGAGUCCAGGUGGCACCAGCUAGUCCAUCAAAAUAGAGGUCUGAAAAAUAUCCAAACACAAAUCUUAGGUUUUAUAAUCAUAGGAACAAUUGAAGAGGUUACAAAUCUUGUGACCUCUAUACAUGACUGCUGAACCACAAUUGUAACCUUCUGGCUAAUUUGUGAGUUUUACAAAGACGGUUUUGUUCCCUGAGCAAGAAGGGUAUUACCAUAUUUGUUUUAAAGUUAAACUAAAUUUCUCCCAUGGUUAGCUUGACCUCUGCCCAGGAGUGAAUAAGGACAGUUUGGAGGUUAGAAACAAGAUGGAGUCAGUUAGGUUAGAUUUCUUUCACCAUCAUAAUUUUUCCAUGUCUGAUUUUUCUCACUGUCAUAAUUUAUGCAAAAGUAGUUUCAGUUUCAAUAUUACCAUCUACCUCUUACCAUUUCCCCUAAUUUCAACAUCUUAUAUUAUAGUGGUAUGUUUGACAAAACUAAGAAGCCAAACAGCAUGUGUUCAUUACUGUUAACUACAUUCCAGACUUAUCUUGUAUUUCAUCAGCUUUUCUUUCUUUUUUUUUUUUUUUUUUUUGAGACAGAGUUUCACUCUUGUUACCCAGGCUGGAGUGUAAUGGCGCAAUCUCGGCUCACCACAACCUCCGCCUCUUGGGUUCAAGCAAUUCUCCUGCCUCAGCCUCCCGAGUAGCUGGGACUACAGGCAUGCACCACCAUGCCCAGCUAAUUUUUGUAUUUUUAGUAGAGACGGGGUUUCACCUUGUUGACCAGGAUGGUCUCGAUCUCUUGACCUCAUGUCCUCUCGCCUCGGCCUCCCAAAGUGCUGGGAUUACAGGCGUGAGCCACUGCACCCGGCCAGCUUUUCCACUAAUGUCCUUUUUCUGUUCAGGAUCCAAUCCAGGAUACUACAUGGCAUCAUGUUUCUUUAUUAUUUUGCAGUCUGUGACAGUUACUCAAUCUUUCCUUGUUUCCUAUGAGCAUAGCAGUCUUAAGGAGCUCUAGCUGUGUGGUUUAUAGAAUGUUUUUCAAUUUGGGCUUAUCUGAUGUUUUCCAAAAGACUAGACCGGGGUUAUGGGCUUCUGGAAAGAAUACCACAGAGGUAGUAGGCCCUUCUCCAGGAGGUAGUGUUCACCCACAUCUCCAGUCUUGAGUGUGGGCUGACUCGCUUCCUAAAAAAGAAUAUGGAGAAAGCUGGUAAAUACUACCUUAACCAAGUGAUCAAAGUUACUGUCACCAGCAGUGAUACUAUGUUGAUAUGAUGUGAUGAGUCCAGCAAAUUUUGAUACAGAGAUAACAUGUGAACAAGACCUGAUUUUAGAGAAAUCUUUACCCACUUUACAAUUUUCCAUAGACUAAACUCACUAAAAAGUACAUAUAAUCUAUAACAAAGUUAUUUUAAAUCAGGAUUUUUGACAUUUCUCUUUAUCUUCCACAAUUAUUUAUUAGUUAGCACCCAAGAUUGUUGUCAUUUUGUAGUGUCUGUAUGGGAGAGAGGAAAAGAGAGAGAGAGGAAGAGAGAAGGAAGGAACAGACUUUGGCUACUUUGCUGCUUUUGUAGUAAUUCACAAAUACAUAGUAUCAGUGGUUGUAAUUUCACGAGAAUAGGAUUCCAAUCCAGACCCCAAGAGAGGGUUCUUGAAUCAUAGUGCAAAGCAAAAGCAAGUUUAUUAAGAAAGUAACGGAAUUGUAAUCCCAGCACUUUGGGAGGCUGAGGCGGGUGGAUCACUAGGUCAAGAGAUCGAGACCAUCCUGGUCAACAUGGUGAAACCCCGUCUCUACUAAAAAUACAAAAAAUUAGCUGGGCAUGGUGGCGCAUGCCUGUAAUCCCAGCUACUCAGGAAACUGAGGCAGGAGAAUUGCCUGAACCCAGAAGGCGGAGGUUGCAGUGAGCUGAGAUCACGCCAUUGCACUCCGGCCUGGGUAACAAGAGUGAAACUCAGUCUCAAAAAAAAAAAAGAAAGUAAAGGAAUAAAAGAAUGACCAUCCCAUAGACAGAGCAGCCCCAAGGGCUGCUGGUUGCCCAUUUUUAUGGUUAUUUCUUGAUUAUAUGCUAAACAAGGGGUGGAUUAUUCAUGCCUCCCCUUUUUAAAUUAUGUAAGUUAACUUUCUCAUGUUGCCAUGACAUUUGUACAUUGUCAUAGCACUGGUGGGAAAGUAGCAAUGAGGAUGACCAGAGGUCACGCUCGUUACAAUCUUGGUUUUGGUGAGUUUUAGCCAUCUUCUUUACUGCAACCUGUUUUAUCAACAAGGUCUUUAAGACCUGUGUCUUGUGCCGACCUCCUCUCUCAUCCUGUGGCUUAGAAUUCCUGACUGUCUGGGAAUGCAGCCCCGUGGGUUUCAGACUUAUUUUACCCAACCCCUAUUCAAGAUGGAGUUGCUAUGGUUCAAAAGCCUGACACAAUGACCACAGAUUAUAUUGAAUCAUGUAUGGUUAGUAGAUUAUUAGUGUGUAAAAGCCCUGAAUUAUUAUUAUUAUUUUGAGAUGGCAUCUCACUGUGUCACCCAGGCUGUGGAGUGCAAUGGCAUGAUCUCAGCUCACUGCAACCUCCUCCUCCCAGGUUCAAGCAAUUCUCUUGUGUUAGCCUCCUGAGUAGCUGGGACUACAGGCACCUGCUACCAGACCCGGCUAAUUUUUGUAUUUUUAGUAGAGACGGGGGUUUCUCGAUGUUCGCAGGCUCGUCUCAAACUCCUGAUCUCAUGAUCUGCCUGCCUUGGCCUCCCAAAGUGCUGGGAUUACAGGCAUAAGCCACCGCACCCAGCCAAAAGCCCUGAAUUUUACGUCUUUAUAAUUCCCAUUUAACUCAGAGCUGGCUAUAUUAAGUGCCAUUUUUAUAGCCAAAUGGGUAUAUUUUUGUUGCAAAUUUAAGGGAUUUUCAAAUGUUGAUCUCUUAAAAUGCACUGUAGCUUACCUUCUACUUGGCAAUGUGGAAUGGAGUGAAUACUGAAUUUGUAGAUUGAAGAUUUGUGUUCUAGGUCCUACACCAUUACUUCCUAAAUAUAACUAGGGCUAAUUCACUUAACUCAGUUUUCUUUUUUUAAUUUUUGUUUUGUUUUGUUUUCUUUCAAUUUUCUCAUCUAUAAAAUUGGUAUAAUCAUACUUCAUCUUUAGCUAUGCCUACUCUUCAACAUGCAUCAUCAGAGUUUUUCUAUUUAAAUCAUGUUGUGUGUUUUUGUUUGUUUGUUUGAGACAAGGUUUCUCACUAUAUUGUCCAGGCUAAACUCAAACUUCUCCUCUCAAGUGAUCCUCUCACCUUAGCCUCCUAAGUAGCUGGGACUACGGACACAUUUCACUGCAUUUAAGUAGAUUUUAAAGGCCAUUAAAUAAUUUGGAAAAAAUGAUUUCAAGCAUAGCAUCCCUAACAAUUAAGCAGCUAUUAACUGCUCCUUACAGGUUGUUGUAAAGUUUAAGAGAGAGCAUAUACAUAAAUGUCUAGCACAUAAUAAAGUUUGAAUAAACAGAAAGUAAUAGGAUAGAGGUAGAAUUUUCUAUUGUCCUGUUUACCUGAUCCUAUUUAAGUAAAUAUUUAAUUCAGCCUUGUUCAUUCUCCAUAGGCCUUUGCUUAUAAAUUCUUGUCAAUAAGAAAUUAUAGCUUAAGGAUGAGCUUGCUGUCAUUAAAAAAAAAAAAUUAUAGCCCAGCACAGUGGCUCGCACCUAAAAUCCCAGCUACUCAGGAGGCUGAGGCAGGAGGAUUGCUUGAGCCUGAGAGGUUGAGGCUGCAGUGAGCCAUGAUCACACCACUGCACUCCAGUCUGAGUUGCAGAGCAAGACUCUGUCUCAGAAAAGAAAGGAAUCGUGACAGAAGCUAAUCAAUCAGAUGUUAGGGAUAUUAUAGAGAGAAUUCCUACCUGCAAAUUGAAAGUUGACUAGAUGACUUCUGUGGUUCCUUCCGAUUCUAUGAUUUUGCUUUAAUACAUAUUGUACCUAUCUCUUAGGAUUUAGUUGAGAGCUUUAAGGGCUGAGAUAGUAUAUGUGAAAACCAUUUGAAAACAUAAAGUACUAUACAAAUAUGUGGUAUUAUUAUAUAAGACUAGUAAACUAGUCAACAGAGAUUCCCUCAGUAGAACUAUCAGUGGCCAGGCAUGGUGGCUCAUGCUUAUAAUCCCAGCACUUUGGGAGGCCAAGGUGGGUGGAUUGCUGGAGGCCAAGAGUGUGAGACCAGCUGGGCCAACAUGGUGAAACCCAGUCUCUCUACUACAAACACAAAAACUAAAUGGGUGUGGUUGUGUGCGCCUGUAAUCCCAACUGCUCAGGAAGCUGAGGCAUGAGAAUUACUUGAACCCAGGAGGCAGAGAUUGCAGUGAGCUGAGGUUGCACCGCUGCAUUUCAGCCUGGGUAAGAGAGCAAGACUCUGUCUCAGAAAAAAGGAAAAAACCUAUCGGUAUUCAUUGGAAAUUAAAAGGUAUACAUAAUGUAUUAAGGUUUUUUUGUUUGUUUUGUUUUGUUUGGUGAGGCCUAGAAUUUAUUGUAUUAAUAAUUGUUACCAUGGUUUGUUAUCUAUUUGUGUUUGUUUUCUUAGCUAGAGGAUUGUAGCAUUUUUUUAUUGCAUACAUUCUCCUAUUUCUUUUCUUUUCUUUUUUGAGACGGAGUUUCGCUCUUGUUACCCAGGCUGGAGUGCAAUGGCACGAUCUCGGCUCACCACAACCUCCGCCUCCUGGGUUCAGGCAAUUCUCCUGCCUCAGCCUCCUGAGUAGCUGGGAUUACAGGCAUGCACCACCAUGCCCAGCUAAUUUUUUUGUAUUUUUAGUAGAGACAGGGUUUCAACAUGUUGACCAGGAUGGUCUCGACCUCUUGACCUUGUGAUCCACCCACCUCGGCCUUGCAAAGUGCUGGGAUUACAGGCGUGAGCCACCGCGCCUGGCCCACAUUCUCCUAUUUCUUAUUCUCCGUUUACUCUGUGACAGUUUUUCCUAAGGCAGUGGCCAGAUGUGUUGUUGUGACAGUUCAGGUUAUAAUUCAGCAUUUCCAUCAAGGAGACAUCUUUCUGAAAACUAUUUGGAAAUAGACAAUAGCUCUCUGCAAUCAAAUUUACUCAGCUUGAUGCCACUACUUUUGGUUUAACUUAAGCAGCACAGAACCAAUUUUAUGGUGAAUUCAGAAGAGAAGCUAUUGCUGGAAAGUAAAAUGACUUUGAGCCCUUCUAUGAUAUCUACUGCCAAGUAUUUCUUCUUCUCACUAUGAGAAUAAUACAUACUUUGUACUGUUGUGGUUCUUCUGCAUAAAAAAGUUUUAUAAUCCUUCUUUUUUUUACUUUUGUCAUUUUUUGUUUUCUGACCAGAUCAGAUCUUUUCAAAGUCAAACUAUAAUUUUAUUAUUUAGUUCCCUAUGGAGUAGCAGUUAAAGAAAAUCAUGGUAAAUUACUCUAUUCUUAGUUGUAAUUUUAUUUCACAACUAUGAAUAAAAGCAUUUUCCAGGCAGGGUGUGGUGGCUUAUGCCUGUAAUCCCAACACUUUGGGAGGCCAAGGCAGGUGGAUCACGAGGUCAGGAGUUCAAGAGCAGCCUGGCUAAGAUGGUGAAAUCCUGUCUCUACUAAAAAUGCAAAAAUUAACCCGGUGCAGUGGCUUACACCUGUAGUCUCAACUACUUGGGAGGCUGAGGCAGGAGAAUCGAUUGAACCCGGGUGGCAGAGGUUGCAGUGAGCUGAGAUUGUGCCACUACACUUCAGCCUGGACGACAGAAUGAGACAAAACAAAACAAAACAAAACACAUUUUCCUAGAUAUUUUCCAUAGAAUUCCUGAAAACAGUUUCUCAGAUCUUUCUCAGUAUUAAAACCAUUUUGUUUCUAGUUGUUGUAAUUUUGUUACUUCCCCCAUCAGCAUUCCUAUUUCUUUUCAUUUCUAAAAUUCUUUUGGUUUAUUUUCUGAGUUUAACAGUGGGGAAUCCAUUUGACUGUGCUCACAGCAGGUAGUAAGUGCUGUGGUAGUCAGUGGAUUGGUUUAUUUGGAUGGUUAAAAGAAUAAUAGGGUAAUUAAGCUUUUCUGAAGCUGCCAACUGUAUUGGAGGUUUGGUGUACAUUUAAGGCUUAUUUAAAAAUAGUUCCUUCAGAAACUGAACUAUUAACCAGUAGAAUUUCUAAGGGCAUAUUCUUUUUAUCAGGUACAGAUUACUUAGAUUACUGGAAUUUGUGUCAAACAGAUUUCCUCUUUCAUAUAAGGAUAAGUCGAAUGCUAUACUAUAUCAUUCAGAUUUGUAAUGUUUAAUUUAUGAUCUUUAGUAGGGUGCUUUUUACCUACCAUAAACUCCCAAAUAUAACUUUUAAAAAUAAUGUAUGCUUUAAAAAUACAGACUUCUUGUAAUCCUAGCACUUUGGGAGGCUGAGGCAGGCAGAUUGCCUGAGCUCAGGAGUUUGAGACCAGCCUGGGCAACAUGGUGAAACCCCGACUCUACUAAAAUAGAAAAAAUUAGCCGGGCAUGGCGGUGUUCACCUGUAGUCCCAGCUACUCGGGAGGCUGAGGCAGGAGAAUUGCUUGAACUUGGGAGGCAGAGGUUGCAGUGAGCUGAGAUUGCACCACUGCACUCCAGCCUGGGUGACAGAGGAAGACUCAAUCUCAAAAAAAAAAAAAAAAAAAAAAAAACGGCUUCUAACAGAGUAAGAAACAUUUAUUCAGGUACUUUUAAAGAUGCAGAAUUAGCCACGAUCUUUGCUUCUUGAACUCAAAAUCUAAAUCUAGAUAAAAUACAGAAAAGGAAUUGCUUUUAUGAGCUACAGUUAUGAGGUCUAAAAUUUUAUCUGCAUAAACUGGGAUGUUGACAUCUUUAAAACCCCAAGCAUUCUGUUCUGAACCAUAAAUGGAAGCAGAGCUCUAUAGCCUUCAGAUUUAUAAUUUUCACAGUGGUUUGAUUCAGAGCGCUUUGAAAAGGUAAUUUAAAUUUAGAUUUAAAUUUGAAAGGGAGAAAUGCCUUAAGGUUUUAUAGCUCUCAGAAGAUAAUGGAUAGGAAUAGUCAUUGUGUGUGAGAGAAGAAAGAAAACCGUAAGAGGAAUGUGGGAUUUAGAAACAUGUACUAAACCUGGUGGAAGAAUAGAAAUUGAUAGAUGGAAAGACGUGAUGUAGGGAAAUAUACAGUCAUUGAAUUUGAGAGUUCUUGAAUAGUUAACAUUCAGCUUUCAGCUGUUCAUUCAAUAAAUAUUUAUUGAGUACUUUCUGUGUGCUUUUUGGCACCAAGGUUUUAAGCAGAUAAGUAUCAAUGACGUAACUAAUUUUGAACUUUUUGUUUUGAAAUGAUUUUAGAUUUAUAGCAAGUUGAAAAGAUAAAGAGUUCCUUCUCUCAGGUGCUACAUGAUUGUGGUACAUUAAUCAAAACUAAGAAUUUACCAUUGGUACUGACAUUUUUAAAGGACUUAUCUGGCUCUUGCUGGCAGAAUAAACUAUGGGGUUGGAGGAGGCAGAGCGGAGACUAGAUAGCAGUUGAUGACGUUAAUCCAGGGAAAUCAUAGUAAUGAUGGUUUAGACUAGUGGGCUAUCUAUAAAAGUGGUAACAGAUAGUCGGAUUUUGAAGAUAGAACCAAGAAGAUUUGCUGAUGGAUUGGAUUUGGGAUGUGAGAUAAACAGAGGAAUCAAAAUGACUCUAAGAUUUUUGGAAAGGAGUCAUUUCUAAAUAUGGAAAAUGAGUUUUAGCACCAACCUUACUGUCUUUCCCUCCACAGCUCUUUAAAAGUUUUAGUUAUUUUAGUAUCUACACAGACAAUCCUGUAAUGCUCAGAUAUCUCUGUUUCUUGACCUCCUCACCUCCAAUGGUCUUGUCUUCCACCUCAAUUUAGUUACUCCUAAGAUCAUCCUCUAGGCCAUGUCAUUACUAAUAACAACCUUCAUUUUAAGCAUUGCACUCUCCUGUCACAACUCCUGUCUUUCCAGCCCUCUCCCUAUAGUACAUGAACUUCAACAAUUUUAACUCGAACAGGUGCUUGGAUCCAUUUUCCCUAUAAUCUUCACUACCCUCCUUCCUUGGCCCAUUAUUAAAAUUAGGGCAAAUGAAAAAAUAGAGUUACUGUUUAUUGAAAUAAGGAAGUUUAUAGGAGAAAUAGGUUUGGUGAAAAGGAGGUUGAGAAUUAGGAUUUUGUUUUGGGACAAAUAAGUUUAAUAAGUUUGAAAUGAACAUUAGCUAUCCAAGAGUAGGUACUUGAGUAUAAGAGCCUGGUGUUUGAAUGAGAGGUUUGGACCAGAAACAUACAUUGGGAGUCAUCAGCAUAUAGAUAAUAUAUAAAGAUAUGAGACAUGAUGAAAUCUAUUAAAUGGCUAUAGAUAGAGAAGAAAGCAAGAAAUCAACCCUAGGCAAUUACCAUUUUUAGAGGUCAGGAAAGCCUUGGUGUUGUGGCUUACACCCGUAAUCCCAGCACUUUGGGAGGCCAAGAUGGGUGGGUCACCUGAGGUCAGGAGUUUGAGACCAGCCUGGCAAACAUGGCAAAACCUUGUGUCUACUAAAAAUACAAAAAUUAGCCAGGCAUGGUGGCAGGCACUUGUAUCCCAGCUACUUGGGAGGCUGAGGCAGAAGUGCUUGAACCUGGGAGGCGGAGGUUGCAGCAAGCCGAGAUCACCCCAUUGCACUCUAGCCUGGGAGACAAGAGUGAAACUCCAUCUUAAAAAAAAGAAAAAGAAGAGGAACCAGUGAAAGAGAUCAAAAGAAGGAUCUAAUGAAAUAGAAAGAGAACCAAGAGAAGUAGUGACCCAAAAGUGAAACGGAAAGGUUUCACGGUAGAGAAAAAUGAUCAUUUGUGUCAUAUACUGCUGAUAGUACAAGUAAAAUUAAAAUGAGAAUUGACAGUUGGGUUUGGCAAAAUGGAAGACAUUGUGACUUUAAUAAAAGCAGUUUCAGAAAAACGGUGAGAAUUAGAGCCUGAAUGGAACGAGUUAAAGAGAAAAUGGGAAAAGAAGGUAGUCGCAAGUACAGAUUGCUCUUUCAUGUCCGAUUGGAAAGGACAGUAGAGAAAUGGGACUUUGACUGGGGAGGUGAGAUGUUGGUCAAGAAACCUGUAUUUUAACAUUGGAAACAUUGCAUGCCAAUGGAAAUGACUAGUAGAGAGAGAGAACUGAUAAUGUAAGAGAGAGAAAAUUGCAGGUUGGUGAGAGAGGAUAGAAUCCAUAGAUGUGGUUAGGUGCAGUGUUUCACGUCUGUAGUCCUAGCACUUUGGGAGGCUGAGGUGGGUGGAUGGCUUGAGCCCAGGAGUUUGAGACCAGCCUUGGCAACAUAGUAAGACGCCAUCUCUAUAAGAAACAAACAACAAAAACAACACCCAGGUGCCUUUGAGGUAAGAGAAUCGCUUGAACCUGCAUGGUUGAGGCUGUAGUGAGCUGUGAUCAAGCCAUUGCAUUCCAGGCUGGGUGACACAGUGAGACUCUGUCUCAAAAAAAAAAAAAAAGCCGGGCACGGUGGCUCACGCCUGUAAUCCCAGCACUUUGGGAGGCUGAGGCGGGUGGAUCACGAGGCCAAGAGAUCAAGACCAUCCUGGUCAACAUGGUGAAACCCCGUCUCUACUAAAAAUACAAAAAAUUAGCUAGGCAUGGUGGCGCUUGCAUGUAAUCCCAGCUACUCAGGAAGCUGAGGCAGGAGAAUUGCCUGAACCCAGGAGGCGGAGGUUGCGGUGAGCCAAGAUCGUGCCAUUGCACUCCAGCCUGGGUAACAAGAGAGAAACUCCGACUCAAAGAAAAAAAUUCAAUGGAUACAUAGAAGAGAUGGCCUUAGCUAGGAUUAUGGACAGUUUUACCAUUAUAUAGGAAGAAAGUGUACGGGUGUAGAUGCACAUAUUUUAGUAUAUGUUUAGUGUGAUGAGAGCUUAUCUGAGUCAUAAUUUCUGUUUUUUCUAUGAGAAUGAGGAGAGGGAGGGAGAAGAGUUGGUUUUUUAAAAAUAUAGUAAAGAGUCAUUUAAAGUUAGUAGUAAUGAAUUAAAGAAGCCAGGUCAUUAUAUUGAAUUUUACUUUAGUCACAUUUAGCUGUUUCAAUGAUACAGUAGCGCGAUCAUAGCUCACUGCAACCUUGAACUCCUGGGCUCAAGGGAUCCUCCCACCUCAGCCUGCCAUAUAGCUAGGACUACAGGUAUGUGCCACCACACCUGGCUAAUUUUUGUAUUUUUUGUAGAGAUGGGAUCUUACUACGUUGCCAAGACUGGUCUUGAACUCUCGGCCUCAAGCAAUCCUCUUACCUUGGUCUCCUAAAGUGUUGAGAUUACAGAUUGUGAACCAUUGAGCCCAGCCUCUUACCUUAUUCUUUUUAAUGGCUGCACUGUAUUCCAUUGUAUUUCACCAGUGCCCUAUUGAGAAUUUAAAAAAAAAUUAUUUCUAGGUUUUUGCUCUAGCAAACAUUGUUAAAUAUAUGUCUUGAAGUACUUUUGUGUGUAUGUGUGUGAUGGAGUCUCGCUCCGUCGCCCAGGCUGAAGUGCAGUGGCAUGAUCUUAGCUUACUGCAGCCUCCACCUCCUGGUUUCAAGUGAUUUACCUGCCUCAGUCUCCUGAGUAGCUGGGACUACUCAGUGGUGUGGCACAUACCACCAUAUCCGGCUAAUUUUUGUAUUUUUAGUGGAGACAGGGUUUCACAGUGUUGGCCAGGAUGGUCUCAAUCUCCUGACCUUGUGAUUGAAGUACUUUUACAGCUAUAUAAAUAGAAUAAAUUUCUAAUGUUUGGUUGAAAUGUGAAUUUUGAAAGAUAUUAGAGAUAGGUGUGAUGGCUCAUGCCUGUAAUCCGAAGACUUUGGGUUGCCAAGGCAGCUGGAUCACUUGAGGUCGGAAGUUUAGUCCAGAAGCAUGGAUUUCUUUUUCUUUUUAAUUUUACUUUAAGUUUCGGGAUACAAGUGGAGAAUGUGUAGGUUUGUUACACAGGCAUAUGUGUGUCAUGGUGGUUUGCUGCACCUGUCAACCCAUUAUCUAGGUUUUAAGGCUCCGCAUGCAUUAGCUAUUUGUCCUAAUUCUCUCCCUCCUUUUGCUCCCCACCCCCUGACUGGUCCUGGUGUGUGUUGUUCCCCUCCCUGUGUCCAUCUGUACUCAUUGCUCAACUUCCACUUAUGAGUAAGAACAUGCAGUAUUUGGUUUCCUGUUCCUGUGUUAGCUUGCUGAGGAUGAUAGCUUCCAGCUUCAUCCAUGUCCCUGCAAAGAACAUGAUCUCAUUCGUUUUUAUGGCUGCACAGUAUUCCAUGGUGUUUAUAUACCACAUUUUAUUUAUUUAUUCUAUCAUUGAUGGGCAUUUGGGUUCGUUCUAUGUCUUUGCUAUUGUAAAUAGUGCUGCAAUAAACAUAUGUGUGCAUGUGUCUUUAUAGUAGAAUUAUUUAUAUUCCUUUGGGUAUAUACCCAGUAAUGGGAUUGCUGGGUCAAAUGGUAUUUCUGGUUCUAUAUCCUUGAGGAAUCACCACACUGUCCUCCACAAUGGUUGAACUAAUUUACAUUUCCACCAACAGUGUAAAAGUGUUCCUGUUUCUCCACAACCUCACCAGCAUCUAUUGUUUCUUGACAUUUUAUUAAUCACCAUUCUGACUGGUAUGAGAUGGUAUCUCAUUAUGAUUUUUACUUACAUUUCUCUAAUCACCUGUGAUGUUUAGCUUUUUUCAUAUGUUUGUUGGCCGCAUAAAUGUCUUCUUUUGAGAAGUGUCUUUUCAUAUCCUUUGCCCAUUUUUUUUUAACUUUUUAUUGCAUUUUAGGUUUGGGGGUACAUGUGCAGAACAUGCAAGACAGUUGCAUAGGUACACACAUGGCAGUGUGUUUUGCUUCCUUUCUUCCCUUCACCCACAUUUGGCAUUUCUCCCCAGGCUAUCCCUCCCCACCUCCCCCUCCCACUGGCCCUCCCCUUUUCCCCCCAAUAGACCCCAGUGUUUAAUACUCCCCUCCCUAUGUCCAUGUGUUCUCAUUUUUCAUCACCCACCUAUGAGUGAGAAUAUGCGGUGUUGCAUUUUCUGUUCUUGUGUCAGUUUGCUGAGAAUGAUGUUCUCCAGAUUCGUCCAUGUCCCUACAAAUGACACAAACUCAUCAUUUCUGAUUGCUGCAUAAUAUUCCAUAGUGUAUAUGUGCCACAUUUUCCCAAUCCAGUCUAUCAUCGAUGGGCAUUUUGGUUGAUUCCAGGUCUUUGCUAUUGUAAACAGCGCUGCAAUGAACAUUCGUGUGCAUGUGUCCUUAUAGUAAAAUGAUUUAUAGUCCUUUGGAUAUAUACCCAGUAAUGGGAUUGCUGGGUCAAAUGGAAUUUCUAUUUCUAAGGCCUUGAGGAAUCGCCACACUGUUUUCCACAAUGGUUGAACUAAUUUACAGUCCCACCAACAGUGUAAGUGUUCCUUUUUCUCCACAUCCUCUCCAGCAUCUGUUGUCUCCAGAUUGUUUAAUGAUCGCCAUUCUAACUGGCGUGAGAUGGUAUCUCAAUGUGGUUUUGAUUUGCAUCUCUCUGAUGACCAGUGACGAUGAGCAUUUUUUCAUAUGAUUGUUGGCCUCAUAUAUGUCUUCUUUCGUAAAGUGUCUGUUCAUAUCCUUUAUCCAAUUUUGAAUGGGCUUGUUUGUUUUUUUUUCCUGUAAAUCUGUUUGAGUUCUUUGUAAAUUCUGGAUAUCAGCCCUUUGUCAGAUGGGUAAACUGCAAAAAUUUUUUCCCAUUCUGUUGGUUGCCGAUUCACUCUAGUGACUGUUUCUUUUGCCGUGCAGAAGCUGUGGAGUUUGAUUAGGUCCCAUUUGUCUAUUUUGGCCUUUGUUGCCAAUGCUUUUGGUGUUUUGUUCAUGAAUUCCUUGCCUACUCCUAUGUCUUGGAUGGUUUUGCCUAGAUUUUCCUCUAGGGUUUUUAUGGUGCCAGGUCUUAUGUUUAAGUCUUUAAUCCAUCUGGAGUUAAUUUUGGUGUAAGGUGUCAGGAAGGGGUCCAGUUUCUGCUUUCUGCACAUGGCUAGCCAGUUUUCCCAACACCAUUUGUUGAACAGGGAAUCCUUUCCCCAUUGCUUGUUUUUGUUGGGUUUAUCAAAGAUUGUAUGGUUGUAGACAUGUUGUGUUGCCUCCGAUGCCUCUGUUCUGUUCCAUUGGUCUAUAUCUCUGUUUUGGUAUCAGUACCAUGCUGUUUUGAUUACUGUAGCCUUGUAGUAUAGUUUGAAAUCUGGUAGUGUGAUGCCCCCCGCUGUGUUCUUUUUGCUUAGAAUUGACUUGGCUAUGCGGGCUCUCUUUUGGUUCCAUAUGAAGUUCAUGGUGUUUUUUUCCAGUUCUGUGAAGAAAGUCAAUGGUAGCUUGAUGGGGAUAGCAUUGAUUCUGUAAAUUACUUUGGGCAGUAUAGCCAUUUUUACGAUAUUAAUUCUUCCUAACCAUGAGCAUGGAAUGUUUCUCCAUCUGUUUGUGUCCUCUCUGAUUUCGUUGAGCAGUGGUUUGUAGUUUUCCUUGAAGAGGUCCCUUACGUUUCUUGUGAGUUGUAUUCUAAGGUAUUUUAUUCUUUUUGUAGCAAUUGUGAAUGGCAGUUCGUUCUUGAUUUGGCUUUCUUUGAGUCUGUUAUUGGUGUAUAGUAAUGCUUGUGAUUUUUGCACAUUGAUUUUAUAUCCCGAGACUUUGCUGAAGUUGCUUAUCAGUUUCAGGAGUUUUUGGGCUGAGGUGAUGGGGUCUUCUAGGUAUACUAUCAUGUCGUCUGCAAAUAGAGACAAUUUGGCUUCCACCUUUCCAAUUUGAAUACCCUUUAUUUCUUUUUCUUGCCUGAUUGCUCUGGCUAGAGCUUCCAGUACUGUAUUGAAUAGGAGUGGUGAAAGAGGGCAUCCUUGUCUAGUGCCAGAUUUUAAAGGGAAUGCUUCCAGUUUUUGCCCAUUCAGUAUGAUAUUGGCUGUUGGUUUGUCAUAAAUAGCUUUUAUUACUUUGAGAUACGUUCCAUCGAUACCGAGUUUAUUGAGGGUUUUUAGCAUAAAGGGCUGUUGAAUUUUGUCAAAUGCCUUCUCUGUGUCAAUUGAGAUAAUCAUGUGGUUUUUGUUUUUGGUUCUGUUUAUGUGGUGAAUUAUGUUUAUAGACUUGCGUAUGUUGAACCAGCCUUGCAUCCCCGGGAUGAAUCCUACUUGAUCAUGAUGGAUAAGUUUUUUUAUUUGCUGUUGCAAUCAGCUUGCCAAUAUUUUAUUGAAGAUUUUUGCAUCUAUGUUCAUCAUGGACAUUGGCCUGAAGUUUUCUUUUCUCGUUGAGUCUCUGCUGGGUUUUGGUAUCAGGAUGAUAUUGGUCUCAUAGAAUGAUUUGGGAAGGAUUCCUUCUUUUUGGAUUAUUUGGAAUAGUUUCAGAAGGAAUGGUACCAGCUUCUCUUUGUGUGUCUGGUAGAAUUCGGCUGUGAACCCGUCUGGACCUGGGCUUUUUUUGUGUGGUAGGCUCUUAAUUGCUGCCUCGACUUCUGCCCUUGUUAUUGGUCUGUUCAUAGUUUCAGCUUCCUCCUGGUUUAGGCUUGGGAGGACGCAGGAGUCCAGGAAUUUAUCCAUUUCUUCCAGGUUUACUAGUUUAUGUGCAUAGAGUUGUUUGUAAUAUUCUCUGAUGUUGGUUUGAAUUUCUGUGGAAUCUGUGGUGAUUUCCCCUUUAUCAUUUUUUAUUGCAUCUAUUUGGUUGUUCUCGCUUUUCUUUUUAAUCAGUCUGGCUAGUGGUCUGUCUAUUUUGUUGAUCUUUUCAAAAAACCAACUCUUGGAUUUAUUGAUUUUUUGGAGGGUUUUUCAUGUCUCAAUCUCCAUCAGUUCAGCUCUGAUCUUAGUAAUUUCUUGUCUUCUGCUGGGUUUUGAGUUUUUUUGAUCUUGCUCCUCUAGCUCUUUCAAUUUUGACGAUAGGGUGUCAAUUUUGGAUCUCUCCAUUCUUCUCAUAUGGGCACUUAUUGCUAUAUACUUUCCUCUAGAGACUGCUUUAAAUGUGUCCCAGAGAUUCUGGCAUGUUGUGUCUUCGUUCUCAUUGGUUUCGAAAAACUUCUUUUUUCUGCCUUCAUUUCAUUGUUUAUCCAGUCAACAUUCAAGAGCCACUUGUUCAGUUUCCAUGAAGCUGUGCGGUUCUGGGUCGGUUUCUGAAUUCUGAGUUCUAACUUGAUUGCACUAUGGUCUGAGAGGCUGUUUGUUAUGAUUUCAGUUGUUUUGCAUUUGUUGAGCAGUGCUUUACUUCCAAUUAUGUGGUCAAUUUUAGAGUAGGUGUGAUGUGGUGCUGAGAAGAAUAUAUAUUCUGUGGAUUUGGGGUGGAGAGUUCUGUAAAUGUCUAUCAGGUUUGCUUGCUCCAGGUCUGAGUUCAAGCCCUGGAUAUCCUUGUUGAUUUUCUGUCUGGUUGAUCUGUCUAAUAUUGACAGUGGAGUGUUAAAGUCUCCCACUAUUAUUGUGUGGGAGUCUAAGUCUCUUUGUAAGUCAUUAAGAACUUGCCUUAUGUAUCUGGGUGCUCCUGUAUUGGGUCCAUAUAUGUUUAGGAUCGUUAGUUCUUCUUGUUGUAUCGAUCCUUUGACCAUUAUGUAAUGGCCUUCUUUGUCUCUUUUGAUCUUUGUUGCUUUAAAGUCUAUUUUAUCAGAGAUGAGAAUUGCAACUCCUGCUUUCUUUUGCUCUCCAUUUGCUUGGUAAAUCUUCCUCCAUCCCUUUAUUUUGAGCCUUUGUGUAUCCUUGCAUGUGAGAUGGGCUUCCUGGAUACAGCACACUGAUGGGUUUUGGAUUUUUAUCCAAUUUGCCAGUCUGUGUCUUUUGAUUGGUGCAUUUAGUCCAUUUACAUUUAGGGUUAAUAUUGUUAUGUGUGAAUUUGAUACUGCCAUUUUGAUGCUAGCUGGCUGUUUUGCCCAUUAGUUGUUAUAGAUUCUUCAUUAUGUUGAUGCUCUUUAGCAUUUAGUGUGAUUUUAGAAUGGCUGGUACUGGUUGUUCCUUUCUAUGUAUAGUGCCUCUUUCAGGAGCUCUUGUAAAGCAGGCCUGGUGGUGACAAAAUCUCUGAGUACUUGCUUGUUCGCAAAGGAUUUUAUUUUUCCUUCACUUCUGAAGCUCAGUUUGGCUGGAUAUGAAAUUCUGGGUUGAAAGUUCUUUUCUUUAAGGAUGUUGAAUAUUGGCCCCCACUCUCUUCUGGCUUGUAGAGUUUCUGCCGAGAGAUCUGCUAUGAGUCUGAUGGGCUUCCCUUUGUGGGUGACCCUACCUUUCUCUCUGGCUGCCCUUAGUAUUUUCUCCUUUAUUUCAACCUUGUUGAAUCUGACGAUUAUGUGCCUUGGGGUUGCUCUUCUUGUGGAAUAUCUUUAUGGUGUUCUCUGUAUUUCCUGCAAUUGAGUGUUGGCCUGUCUUGCUAGGUGGGGGAAAUUUUCCUGGAUAAUGUCCUGAAGAGUAUUUUCCAGCUUGGAUUCAUUCUCUUCGUCACAUUCUGGUACGACUAUCAAAUGUAGGUUAGGCCCCUUCACAUAGUCCCACAUUUCUUGGAGACUUUGUUCAUUCCUUUUUGCACUUUUUUCUCUGAUCUUGGUUUCUCGUUUUAUUUCAUUGAGUUGAUCUUCGACUUCUGAUAUCCUUUCUUCUGCUUGGUCAAUUCGGCUAUUGAAACUUGUGCAUGCUUCGCGAAGUUCUCGUAUUGUGUUUUUCAGCUCCUUUAAUUCAUUCAUAUUCCUCUCUAAGUUAUCCAUUCUUGUUAUCAUUUCCUCGAAUCUUUUUUCAUCUUUUUUCAAGGUUCUUAGUUUCUUUGCAUUGAUUUAAAACAUGUUCUUUUAGCUCACAAAAGUUUCUCAUUAUCCACCUUCUGAAGUCUAAUUCCAUCAUUUCGUCACAGUCAUUCUCCAUCCAGCUUUGUUCCCUUGCUGGUGAGGAGUUUUGGUCCUUUCUAGGAGGCGAGGUGUUCUGGUUUCGGGUGUUUUUCUCCUUUUUGCGCUGCUUUCUUCCAUCUUUGUGGAUUUAUCCACCUUUCGUCUGUGUAGUUGCUGACUUUUCGAUUGGGUCUCUGAGUGGACACCCAGAUUGUUGAUGAUGAAGUAUUUCUGUUACUUGGUUUUCCUUCUACCAGUCAGCCCCUUCGCUGUACGACUGCUGAGGUCCACUCCAGGCCCUGCUUCUCUGGGGUGCACCUAUAGCAGCUGCAGAACAGUGAGGGAUGCUACCAGUUUCUUUUUCUGCUAUCUUUGUCCCAGAAUGAUGCCUGCCAAAUGUCAGUCUUUUGGAUAUAGAGGGGUCAGGGAGCUGCUUGAGGAGACAGUCUGUACUUUGUAGGAGCUCAAGUGCUGAGCUGUGAGCUCUGUUGUUCAUUCAGGGCUGUUAGGCUGCUAUGUUUAAUUCUGCUGCAACAUAACUCAUAAAAAAAAAACCCUUUUUUUUCUCAGAUGCUCUGUCUGGGGGGGGUUGGGGCUUUCCUUGUGAGUGUCCACCGCGCUCUCCUGCCCAGCUAGGAGGCAGUCUAGUCACUAUUUGCCUGCCGAGGCUCUGCCCUGCUGGUGUGAGGUUCGCCCUGUUGCUGCAGGCUCUGCCCUUCUGCUGCGGUCUCCGCCCUGCUGCCACGGGCUACGCCCUGAGGCGGAGUCUCUCUGUUGUAGCGGGUUGCCUCGGCAAUGGCAGGCUGCAUCAGCAAUGGGCGUGUACCUCAGUAGGGGCGGUUUGCCUCAGUAAUGGCAGGCUCCCCUCCCCCAUGGAGCUGCGGCCUCAGGGAACCCCUCCAUGGGGAGCAUUUGGAAUCGCCGUUUUGUUUGUCCCACUGCGCUACCCCAAACGCUGUGACCCUGGAAUCUCCUGGGCUGGCUCACUGUCCAAGUCCCGUUCAGUCUCAAGUUCAGCCCUCCCAAGUCUCAAGUUGCCGGCCCAACAGGGCACCUGGACGAGCGCGCUUUGUGGGGACCGCUGUGUAGCACCGCCACAGCGUGGGCCGUUGCCGCACCGGCCACCGGCUGCACCAGCCAAAACCUCUGCCUGGCGUCCCGCAUCUCCUCUAUACCUAGGAAUUUCCCCGUUCUGUGGGCAACAAAGAUCCGUCUGGAAAUGCGGCCCUGACUCACCCCUUCCACGCAUUGACCGCGAGCUUCAAUCCUGGGUUGUUCUCACAGCACCAUCUUGAGUCCUCUCCCUUUGCCCAUUUUUUGAAGGGGUUGUUUUUUUCUUAUAAAUUUGUUUAAGUUCCUUGUAGAUUCUGGAUAUUGGACCUUUGUCAAAUGGGUAGAUUUAAAAAAUUUUCUCCCAUUCUGUAGGUAUAGCAUGGGUUUCAGAGAGUUUUGAGGGAGAAAGGAGGGACACUGAUCUGUAGGUUUCAGUAAGGAGCAAGUUCCUAAAAACAAUAAAUAAAAUUAAAUGAUUUCAUUAAAUUACAUUCUUAUCAAUAGUGUAUGGAUGUACUAGUUUCUCUAUACCGUUCCUUCUCUUUUCCUCCAACUGAGAAUUGUUUGUUAAUGUUAUGUGUGGUUUGUAUUAAGCUAAAUUGCAAAGUAUUGGCUGGGUGCAGUGGUUCAUGCCUAUAAUCUCAGAAAGAACUUUGGGGGGCCAAGAUGGGAGGAUCACUUGAGGUCAGGAGUUUGAGACCAGCAUGGCCAACACGGUGAAACCCCAUCUUUACUAAAAAUACAAAAAUAAGGUGAGUGUGGUGGCACAUGCCUAUAGUCCCAGCUACUCAGGAGGCUGAGGCAGGAGACUUUCUUGAACCCAGGAGGCUGCAGUGAGCCAAGAUUGCACCACUGCACUCUAGCCUAGGCAACAGAGUGAGAUUCUGUGUAAAUUAAAAAAAAGAAAAUUGCAAAGUAUUCUAAUUGGUUUAUUAGUUGUCUCUGAUGAAUAGCAUUGAAAUAGGAGGGAAGAGUACUAUUGCUUUUCAUUAUAACUCCCUUUAUAUUUUUUAGUUUUUAACUAUGUGCUUGUGAUAUGAAUCAUUUAAAAUAUGUGUGUAUGGCUGGGCGUGGUGGCUCAUGCCUAUAAUCCCAGCACUUUGGGAGGACAAGCAAGUGGAUCAUGAGGUCAAGAGAUGGAGACCAUCCUGGCAAACAAGGUGAAACCCCAUCUCUACUAAAAAUACAAAAUUUAGCCAGGUGUGGUCGCAAAUGCCUGUAAUCCCAGCUACUAAGGAGGCUGAGGCAGGAGAAUCGCUUGAACCCAGGAGGCAGAGGUUGUGAUGAGCUGAAAUCUCGCCAUUGCACUCCAGCCUGGAUGACAGAGCGAGACUGCGUUUCAGUCAAUCAAUCAAUAGUGUAUGCAUGUGUGUGAGUAUAUGUAUGUUAUAGAAUGUGUAUAUAAAGAAUAGUCAAAUAAUAUGAUACACUUAGCAUCCAUAACCAAUUAAUUAUGCCGUGCUGCCAGAUUAUUUUGCAUGUGCGUGUUCAUUUCCUAAUAAAUGUUACCAUUUCUAUUUAAUUGAAGAACAGCUUGAGAUUUUAAGAGAAGCUGAUUUUUUUUAAAUUAGUAUUUGUAUGGCAUUUGUGAAAAUUGAAUGUCUUCAUUGUAACAUAACAAAAACAAUUAGCUAUUGGGGCUAAUAUAAAACUGCAAUGGUAUCUACAACUUCAGAUUUCAUAUGCUUGCGUUAAUUAAAACAACCUAAUUUUUCUAACUGAAUUGACUAUAAUAUGUAAAUUUUAUAACCUCAAAUAGAUAAAAUAAAUGUACAUCUAAAAACAAGGUACUAUAACAUGAAAAUUAAACUCUUGAUUUAAAAAAUAUUGACUAACAUUUAAUUCAGAGACUUUGUGUUUUCUUUUUUUUUUUGAGACAGAGUCUCACUUCGUCGCCAGGUGCCAGGCUGGAGUGGAGUGGCACAAUCUCGGCUCACUGCAAUCUCCGCCUCCCUGGUUCAAGCAAUUCUCCUGCCUCAGCCUCCCGAGUAGCUGGGACUACAGGCGCACGCCACCAUUCCCAGCUAAUUUUUGUAUUUUUAGCAGAGACGGGGUUUCACUAUGUUGCCCAGGAUGAUCUCGAUCUCUUGACCUCGUGAUCCACCCGCCUCGGCCUCCCAAAGUGCUGGAAUUACAGGUGUGAGCCACCACGCCCGGCCGCUAUGUUUUCAUUUUAACUCCCAAUUUAGGUUUUUAUAUGUGACUGAAAUUUGUCAGAACAUAUGGACUUACAAUAAAUGUCUUUGCUUUAAAAUAUAUUCAUUUUUUAUCUAUAGAGAUAUAUUAUGUACUGACUUUUAAAUUAGUGUUAGAGUAUUUUCAGUCUUUUGGCCUUCUGCAGCUACCUUUCCAAAAAAAUAAUGGAAUCUUAGUGAAGUGUUUGGGUUGCAGUUUCCAUUACUGUUACCAGUUACCCAUAAUAGAUAUAUCAAUCAGGGGCCUUUGUUACUAUAGCAGUGUUACCUCAAAUAAAUUCAUUUAAGGCCACAUGUGGUGUCUCACUCCUGUAAUCCCAGCACUUUGGGAGGCUGAGGCAGGUGGAUUGCUUGAGCCCAGUUCAAGACCAGCUUGAGCAACAAAGUACGACCCCGUCUUUAAAAAUUAAAAAAUUAGCCAGACAGCCGGUGCAGUGGCUCACGCCUGUAAUCCCAGCACUUUGGGAGGCUGAGGCGGGUGGAUCGCCUAAUGUCAGGAGUUCGAGACCAGCCUGGCCAGCAAGGUGAAACCCCGUCUCUACUAAAAAAUUAAAAAAUGAGCCAGGUGUGGUGGUGGGUGCCUGUAGUACUAGCUACUUGGGAAACUGAGGCAGGAGAAUCACUUGAACCCAGGAAGCAGAGGUUGCAGUGAGCUGGGAUCGCACCACUGCACUCCAGCCUGGGCAACAGAGCAAGACUCUGACUCAAAAAAAAAAAAAAAACAACCAGCAUGGUACGUACCUGUGGUCCCAGCUACAUGAGAGGCUGAGGCAAGAGGAUCACUUGAGCCUAGAAGGUAGAGGCUUUCAGUGAGUUGUGUUCAUAGCACUGUGCUUUAGCCUGGGUGACAGAGCAAGACCCUGUUUCCAAAAAAAAAAAAGAAAAGAAAAGAAAUUCCAGGCGUGGAGACUCACACCUGGAAUCUCAGCACUUUGGGAGGCCGGCGGGAGGACCUCCCUACUAAAAUACAAAAAUGUGCUGGACAUGGUGGCGUGUGCCUAUAAUCCCAGCUACUAAGGAGGCUGAGGCAGGAGCAUUGCUUGAACCAGACCCGGGAGCUAGAGGUUGCAGUGAGCCGAGAUCCCAUCACUGCACUCCAGCCUGGGCUAUCGAGCAAGACUCCCUCUCAAAAAAAAAAAUUUUUUUUUGCUUUAUCUGGCAGAUACCCAAGCAGAGACAAAAAAAGCCUCUCACUGUGGAAAAAUGUACUAUUCUGGCAUUCUUAUACUAUUGUCAAGACUACUUGACAUUUGAAAGAAAUUAUUAUAUGUAUUAUAUGUGAUAUUACUAUUAUUUCAUCUGGAUAGUAAAAUAUUAAUGAUGAUUCUAAAUAAUGGGUAUAUGAAUAUUUAUUGUAAAAUUAUUUUCAUUCUUCUGUGCAUUUGAACAUUUGUAUAAUAGAAUACUGACAAGGAGAAAAAAAGCAUUCGAUACUCUCAGAAGCAAUUUUUUCCUUAUGUAUUUUGUGAAGAGAAGCAGAGUAACUUAACCCCUGAAAAUUAAGUUACUUGCUUAUUAUGUUUCUGGCUAGAUAUAAGUUUUCACAGAACCAAUCUGAAAUACAACUGGGUUUCUUUAUGUUUUGUUUUUUGUUUUUUUUGAGACGGAGUUUCACUGUUGUUACCCAGACUGGAGUGCAAUGGCACGAUCUCGGCUCACUGCAAUCUCCGCCUUCUGGGUUCAAGCAAUUCUCCUGCCUCAGCCUCCUGAAUAGCUAGGACUACAGGCAUGCACCACCAUGCCCAGCUAAUUUUUGUAUUUUUAGUAGAGACGGGGUUUCACCUUGUUGACCAGGAUGGUGAACACCCGUGAUCCACCCGCCUCGGCCUCCCAAAGUGCUGGGAUUAUAGGCAUGAGCCACUGUGCCCAGCUUAUGUUAUUUUGUUUUAUGUACAUAUUUGGGAAGUUAGCUUGUUUAUUCUUAACUCAUUUAAAAUUCUGUUAGCUUUGGAAGGUUUUAAAAAUGAGAUACACUGUCAUUAUUUUCAGUGUCGGAAAUUCUUCCUGCUAUCUCUGUUUUGAAAAUUUACUUGUUUUGUCUAUGUUCAUACCACCCUGAAUGUGCUCAAUCUCAUCUGAAAAUUUACUUGUUCUAUCACAAUUUAUAAGAAUCAAGUAUCUAGGCUGGGUGCAGUGGCUCACAUCUGUAAUUUCAGCACUUUGGGUGGCCAAGGUGGGAACAUGGCUUGAGCCUAGAAGUUGAAGAUCAGCCCAGGCAACAUGGCAAGACCCCAUCUCUACAAACAUUUUUUUUUUUUUUUUGAGACGGAGUUUUCCUCUUGUUACCCAGGCUGAAGUGCAAUGGCGUGAUCUCAGCUCACUGCAACCUCCGCCUCCCGGGUUCAGGCAAUUCUCCUGCCUCAGCCUCCUGAGUACCUGGGAUUACAGGCACGUGCCACCAUGCCCAGCUAAUUUUUUGUAUUUUUAGUAGAGACGGGGUUUCACCAUGUUGACCAGGAUGAUCUCGAUCUGUUGACCUCGUGAUCCACCCGCCUCAGCCUCCCAAAGUGCUGGGAUUACAGGCGUGAGCCACCGCGCCCAGCCUCUACAAACAUUUUUUAAAAAUUAGCCAGGUGUGUUGGUGUGUGAUUGUAGUUCCAGCUACUUGGGAGACUGAAGUAGGAGAAUCACUUGAGCCCAGCCCAGAAGGUGCCAAGGCUGCAGUGAGCUGUGUUCAUACCACUACCCCCCAGCCUGGGCAACAGAGCAACACCCUGUCUCAAAAAAAAAAAAAAAAAAAAUAGAAUAACAAUGAUCUUGUCUGCUUCUCUCAAAAAUCAUCAGAAAAAAAUAAUUGGGGGAAGAAAGAAAGAAGUCAACACCAUCUUCAAUAAGAAUAGGAAAUACCUGUACCAUCAAAUCACAAAAUAGCUUAAGAGCUAUCAAAUGGAAGAAAGACCAAAUAGGUAUGAAGAAAUGAUGAGAUGCCUACAUCUGCAGAUCUCAGUAAAAGCCAGUAGAGUUUAUUCUCUAAAGAAAGUGGUGUACGCCAGCCAUGGUGGCUCAUAUCUGUAAUCCCAGCACUUUUGGGAGGCCAAGGCAGGUGAUUAUGAGGUCAGGAGUUCAAGACCAGCCUCACCAAGAUAGUGAAACCCUGUCUCUACUAAAAAUACAAAAAUUAGACCAGGCUUGGUGGCUUACGCCUGUAAUCUCAGCACUUUAGAAGCCGAGGCUGGUGGAUCAUGAGGUCAAGAGAUUGAGACCAUCUGGGCUAACAUGGUGAAACCCCGUCUCUACUAAAAAAUACAAAAAAUUAGCCAGGCAUGGUGGUGUGUGCCUGUAGUUCCAGCUACUCAGGAGGCUGAGGCAGGAGAAUUGCUUGAACCCAGGAGGCAGAGGUUGCAGUGAGCCGAGAUUGCGCCACUACACUCCAGCCUGGCGACUGGUGACAGAGUGAGACUCUGUAUCAACAACAACAACAACAAAAUACAAAUAUUAGCUGGGAGUGGUGGUGGGGGUCUGUAAUCCCAGCUACUUGGGAGGCUGAGGCAGAGAAUUGCUGAACCUGGGAGGCGGAGGUUGCAGUGAGCAGAAGUUGCACCACUGCUGUUCAGCCUGGGCCACAGAGCAAGACUCCAUCUCAAAGUGAAAAAAAAAAAAGAGAGAGAGAAGAGAAAAGGAAAGAAAGAAAAGAGAGUGAUGUAUCCUGAGGAGCAAAAUCCAACAAUGUGGGAACCAUACAGGACUAGCAGUGGGAGCUUCUCAAGGCACCAAGGAGGAGAAGAGGCGUUGAAUGAAGAAUUGGAAAUAUACCAUAUUUGUUAAAAAGUGACCAACAUAGUGAAACCUUAUCUGUACUAAAAAUACAAAAAUUAGCCAGGCAUGUAGUGCAUGCCUAUAAUUCCAGCUACUCGGGAGGCUGAGGCAGGAUAAUCAUUUGAACUCAGGAGUUGGUGGUUGUAGUGAGCCAAGAUCACACCAUUGCACUUGAGCCUGGGCAAGAGUGAGACUCUGUCUCAAAAACAAACAAACAAACAAACAAACAAACAAACAAAAACUAGCAGGAGGAUGUACUCUAGUAAAAUCUAAGAACUAAUUUGUUAAAAUAAAUUUAAAAGAAGAGAAACAUGGGAUCUGGGAACAGGUGAUUCACCACAGAAGGGAUCCGUAAGGAAGUUCCAGGAUAUCAUUUCUUUAUCAGGUAUAGGCCAAGGAGUUUUCUAGGGGAAAAAAAAAAAAACAAGAAAUAGGCCUAGACCAGGGAGUUUCCUAGGAAAAAAUAAGGACUGAUUUAUAUGAGCAUAUGAAAAAUAUUAUUGAAUGAUGUGCCACAAUGAUGUUGGAGCAUUUGGAAAAAGCAUACUGAUAGGUAUGUUGGAAACAGAGCAAAUGAAAAAAAUAAAGCAGUUAUCAACUCUACGAAAAACAAAAUACAGUCAGGUACCCCAAAACAACGUUUUAGUCAUUAACAGGCCUCAUGUACAGUGGUACUCCCAUAAAAUCAUAAUAGAGCUGCCCUACCCUAUAAAGUAUAUCAUUUUUAUCUGUUAUACCAUAUUUUUUACUGUACUUUUUCUAUGUUUAGUUACACAAAUACUUACCAUUGUUUUAAAACUGCCUACAGUACUCAAUAUUGUAACACACUGUGCAGGUUUGUCUCUAGGAACAAUAGGCUGUACCAUAUAGCCUACAUGUGUAGUAGACUAUACCAUCAGGUUUAUAUGAGUAUGCUGUAUGAUGUUUGCACAAUGACAAAAUUGCCUGACAAUGCACUUCUCAGAACAUAUCCCCAUUAUUAAGUGACACAUGACUGUAAUUGUACAAGAAAGGAGUUGUGGUCUUAGUCUAUGCAGUUCACACUAUUUGUAUGACUGUAAUAGUAAUUUAAAACUCACUGAUUUAACCAAAUAUUGGGAGAAUUGAGGGAGAGGAAAGUCGUGUAUGUGAGAAUAAUUACUAAAACUUCAUGUUGGUAAAAUGAUAUUGUUAAUAUUGAUAAAGCAAGAAAUCAAAAAGAACUAAGAUGUCUUCUACCAUGGGGGGAAGAUAAUAAAUCUGGUAUUUAAUAUUGAUAAAUUAAGAAAUAUCAGUAUAAAUAUUUUCUUUAGAAAGAUGGAAACAGGCUGGACAUGGUGGCUCACACCUAUAAUUCUAGCACUUUGGGAGGCUGAGGCAGGUAGAUCACCUGAGGUGAAACCCCAUUUCUGCUAACAAUAUAGAAUUAGCUGGGCAUGAUGGCGGUUGCUGGUAAUCCCAGGUACUAGGGAAGCUGAGGCAGGACAAUCUUUUGAACCUGGGAGGCGGAGGCUUCAGUGAGCCAAUAUUGGGCCACUGUAUUCCAGCCUAGAUGACAAGAGUGAAGGUUUGCCUCAAAAAAAAAAAAAAGAAGAAGAAGAAGAAGAAAACAGGGAGAAUGACUAGAAGAGUUGAAAUUGGUAGCCUCUGGAGCUUAGAGAAGGAUGGGGAAGGGUCUUUCAUUAUAAGUCUUUUAGUACAAUUUGACUUUUUAAAGGAGGUGACUACAAUAUUUUGACAAAAAUAAAAAUAACCAAUAAGGGAUUAUUUGUGUGUAGCACACACAAAAAGUUAUGUAAAGCUAUUCUUGUAUUUAUUUGGCAUUAAUUACAAAUUAUAUCCUAUAGGUAACAACUGAAAAUUACUGAAGAUUAUGUUAUAUGGUACACUGUUUUGUAAAUAUACUGAUUUUUUUUUUUUUUUGAGACAGAGUCUCGCUCUGUUGCCAGGCUCCAGGCUGCUGUGCAGUGGCGCAAUCUCGGCUCACUGCAAUCUCUGCCUCCUCGAUUCAAGCAAUUCUCCUGCCUCAGCCUCCCAAGCAGCUGGGACUACAGGUGUGCACUACCAUGCCCAGCUAAUUUUUGUAUUUUUUAGUAGAGAUGGGGUUUCACCAUGUUGGCCAGGAUGGUCUCGAUCUCUUGACCUUGUGAUCUGCCUGCCUCGGCCUCCCAAAGUGCUGGGAUUAUAGGCGUGAGCCACCGUGCCCAGCUUUUUUUUUGAGACAGAGUCUUGCCGUGUCACCCAAGCUGGAGUGCAGUGGCAAGAUCUCAGCUCACUGCAACCUCAGCCUUCCCGGUUCAAGCGAUUCUCCUACUUCAGCCUCCCAAGUAGCUGGGAUUACAGGCAUGUGCCACCACACCUGGCUAAUUUUUUUGUAUUUUUGUAGAGAUGGGGUUUCACCAUGUUGGCCAGCCUGGUCUCAAACUCCUGACCUCAGGUGAUCCUCUCACCUCAACCUCCCAAAAUGUUGGGAUUAUGGGCAUGAGCCACUGUGCCUUGCCAAUUUUCUACUCUUAAGUAAGAUUCAUUCUAAGGAGUUAGGGAAUGACUUAAACCUACAUGAAUCAGAAAAAUAGUAAUACCCAUUCAGCAAAUAUGUAUUGAAUACCCUGUGCCAGUCACUGAUCUGGGCACUAGGCAUCAAAAAGAGACAAAAGCAUCUGCAGUCUAGUGAAGGAGCAGUGGAGACAUAAACAAUAAACAUAAUAAAAAUGGCGUGGCUGGGCACUUCAUCCCAGUACUUUCAGAGGCCAAGGCAGGCAGAUUGCUUUAGGUCAAGAGUUUGAGACCAGCCUAGCCAACAUGGUGAAACCGCAUCUCUACUAAAAAUACAAACAUUAGCUGGGCAUGGUGGUGGGCACCUGUAAUCCCAGCUACUCUGGAGGUUGAGGCAGGCGAAUCACUUGAACCCAGGAGGCAGAGGUUGCAGUGAGCUGAGAUCACGCCAUUGCAUUCCAGUCUAGAUGACAGAAUGAGACUCAAUCUCAAAAAAAUAAAAUAAAACAAUUUAAAAAAUGGCUGGACUAUAUUAGAAGUUGAUAAAGUCUAUGCAAAAAGAAAAUUACAUGCAACAUAGUAAGAGGGUUUGGAAAUGCAGCGAGAAGAGGAGAAACCAUCAAAGGAGACUGGAAGACAGAACUCUGUAAGUAGUAUAGGAAAAUGUGACAUUAUAGAAGCCUAGAGAAGAAAAUGUACCAAGGUAGAUGGCAUGAUCAGUAAUCAGAGGCUCCUGAGUGAAAUAGACUUGAGAAUAGACUACUGGAUUUAGCAACAGGAAAGUCUCAUAUGUGAUGCUGACAUGAGCUGUUUCAGUAAAGAUGUGCUAAUUUCUUCUCAUCGUGGAGAAAGGAUGACAAGAAAGUUACUGCUAAGCCCUCAUCUUUUUGUGAUCUUAUAGCAGUAGUGGUAGUUUGAUCUCUGGUAAAUUUGUAACAUCUAGAUUGCUAUUCACAGGAAACAGGAUAACUGGUUUUGCUUGGAUGUCAACUUGAUCAGUGUGAGUAAAUGGUAAGAUUAUACUGAUAGCACCCAUAGGGAAUGAGAUUUCUGUUGUGAAAACCCCAAACCCAGAACUGCAGGAACUAGUCCUUUGGUAAGUUACAUGAUUUAGGUACAGAAGGGCUAAUGAAGAGAAUUGGUGGUGUGUGGGCUUUACAAUAGGAGUUGACUCCAGGUGGCAUUCUUAGAGGUUGCUAUAGAAAGAAAAUAGCUUAAAUUCAGCCCCAAUUUUAAUUCCAUCUAGUCCACUAAGAAAAAGAAUACUAAGUCAGGUGGAGAACUUGCCUUCUUUAUUUUAGCUUAAUGUGUUAUUCUAGAUUUAGAAUACAUUUGAUUAACUGGGGUAAGGGGAUGAUCAGAAAUUCAAUAUUUAACUACUGUCAUUCUAGCAAGGGCAUACUGAGCAGAUAACAUCAUCAUAAUAUGUGGGCUGAGAUGAGGCUGCUCCAGAUGAGUCUCUCUCAAAGUUAAUUGAUGGAAACUUCCCACCUUCAAGAAUUUUUAUUACCUUAGCAAUGCUAUGCCAAGACUGCUGAAACACAGCUGUGGGUGCUGUGCAGACGCCCACAUUGCCAAUGUCAGGAAGGAUGUACUUUUAAACCUCUAAUUUAUCUAAUAAUGUCAUUAGUGAUUCAUGUAGGUUUGACAUUGUGAUAAAAAUUCUUCCUGGCUUGGUUUAUAACAAGAAUUCGGUUUGUAGUCUUAAAAUUAUAUUGUCUUAAUAUGCAUGUGGAAGAUACUAACAAGUCAACUUACAAAAAGAUCUGACUAAAAUACCAUCCUGUCUAUCUAAAGGAACUUACUAUCCACCAUGGUAUUUGAAAAUGAAUGCAAAUUAAAUGUUUUUAUGCUGUAGUAAUCUAUUUGUUGUGGUUCCUGCUUUAUAACAAGACGGCAAGAUUCAGUGCUGAAAGAGAGCCAGCUUUCAUAUUCAGUCCAGUCUGACUCCUUUCCUAUUCUCUAAUGGAAAAUAUGAAUAGAUUGGAUUGAUGUCAGCUUAUAUAGUGGAGAUGGAAUAGUAAACUCUUGUAAAUAAAUAUUUUUAAAGAGGUAGGAAAUAGUACUUCCUUGUUUAAAAUAUAAAAUUUUAUAGUAACAAUAUUGUUUUAUAUGAUGUUUAUCAUGUAGGCAUGUCUCUUUUUUGUUUGUUUUUGAGAUGGAGUCUCACUUUGUCCAGUCCAGACUGGAGUGCAGUGGUGUGAUCUUGGCUCACUGCAACCUCCACCUCCCGGUUGAAGUGAUUCUCCUGCCUCAGCCUCCCAGGUAGCUGGGAUUACAGGCACCCGCCACAACACCCAGCUAAUUUUUGUAUUUUUAGUAGAGACAGGAUUUUACCAUUUUGGCCAGGCAGGUCUCGAACUCCUGACCUCGUGAUCUACCUGCCUUGGCCUCCCAAAGUGCUGGGAUUACAGGUGUGAACCAUUGUGCCCAGCCAUAGGCACUUCUCUUUAAUACAAAAUGUGAAGUAUUCUUUCCUAACUAAUGGAUUCACUGCAAGGAUUGAUUGCGUUUAUCAAAAUCAGUAUAUAUUUAAUGUUUCAGAAUACACCCACUGCAUAAAGUAGAGUAUUCCUAAUUACUGAUAGAAAGAAUAUAUGGCGUUUGUUCCACUCUACUGGACUACGUGAAAACCUUUGGAUCUGAAGUGUCUUUAUACUUUUAAGCUGCCUUUGUCCCAUGUUUGAAAUUAAAAAACCUCAUUUGGAAUAGAAUUAUAGAAGUAGAAUUUUAGACCUGGAUUGACUUUAGAGUUGUUUUUGUUUGUUUGUUUGAGGUAGAGUUUUGCUCCUGUUACCCAGGCUAGAAUGCAAUGGCAUGAUCUUGGCUCACCACAAUCUCUACCUCCUGGGUUCAAGUGAUUCUCCAGCCUCAGCAUCCCGAGUAGCUGGAAUUACAGGCAUGUGCCACCAUGCCUGGCUAAUUUUUUAUUUUUAGUAGAGAUGGGGUUUCUCCAUGUUGGUCAGGCUGGUCUAAAAACUCCUGACCUCAGGUGAUCCACCCACCUCGGCCUUCCAAAGUGCUGGGAUUACAGGUAUAAUCCCCACUCCUGGCCGACUUUAGAAUUAUUUUAUAUUCUGAUUUCUUAAUUUUCUAGUUGAAGAAAUUGAAACCCAGAGAGUUUAAGUGUCUUUUCUAAGAUUACCCAGCUAGAACUAGAAUCCACCUUUCUAACUCCUUAUAUUUCUGCUCUAAUUUCUUGUCCCCAACAAGUUAAUCAAAUAGCAAUUACAUUGUAAAUUGGCAGAAGGUUUAUGUCUCUGUCAUGUGUGUGUAACUAUAUAUAUUUUCAGGCUCCAAAGUCAAUAGUGAUCUGUAAUUAUUCUUCAUAUGUAUCUAUGUUUUUAUCUUUGUAGUUACAUGGAAAAUUCACAGUGUUUAAAUUAUAAGUUAAAGUGAUUUCUGAGUAUCUGUGAAUAUAUAAAAAAUAGUCUUUAAUAUAUAGGUAACAAGGAUCCAUAUAUAAUUAAGUCCUGCAAGCACUAUAGGUGAAGGAAAUGCUAAGAAUUCUCCUAUGACUGGGCCCCAUUAUGAAAUUUAAAGAAAUCAAUACUUAUCUAAAGCAUAGGAAAUGAACAUGCUCAGUACUGAUAGGCUAUCUAUGCUAAUACACUAAUUCUUUUUUUUUUUUUUUUUUUUUUUGA